Molecule: long non-coding RNA, 60273 nt
Filed under: Ananas comosus (pineapple)
Lineage: Eukaryota; Viridiplantae; Streptophyta; Magnoliopsida; Poales; Bromeliaceae
Description: long non-coding RNA (ACOM_LNC021834)
Source: RNAcentral
AAAACGUAUAUAACUUAUUUGAACUAUGAAAUAUUUUGAGUUGGCUACAACAACUUUCAAAAUUUUGACUUUCAAAUAUAAGUCAAUUAACAGUAUUAUUUAUCUUUACAUGUUUAGUUAGUAUAUUUCAUGUACUUUUUAUAACUAUAAGUUUAUUGAAGUUGGCAAUUGGUUUAAAUUUUAAAGUAAAAUCACUGUUUGAUUGGCUCAAGUCAAACAAAUUGAUAGGCUAAGUAGUAAAAUUAAAAUUUUAAAAUAUUGGAUAGUCGAUUCAAAAUGAUCUAUAGCUCAGAUAAGUUUUAUAUAUUUUUAGAUAUUUUCUUUGACCUGCAGUUAUUCUCUUUUUUUUCCAAUCAAUAUUUUAUAAAAUUACUUAAAUCUAAGUUUAACUAAUUUUUUAUUAAGUUUUUAAAGUACAAGACAAGAUUCAGACAUUUAGAUUCUCAUAAGUAAAUUUUGGUGAGAUACUGAUUUGUUUUUCUUUGUAUCCACUCUACACACACCUAUUUUUUCUGUCAGUAACAGCAUGUUUUUUCUGUUUUGUUUUUGUCCAAAAUGGUGAACUUAUGUACGAAAUUCAGUUAGCACCACUAUAAAUUUCAUAUCUACAUAUUAUGAAAAAAGAAAAAAAAAAUUCAAAAACUGAACAUUACUUGUUUGUAUCUGUUAGGAUUUGGUUAGAUUUAUAGUUAAAUCCUAUUUGGAUAAGAAUUAAUAUUUAAUCUGUUUGAGAUAAAUUAAUAUUUAAAUAUUAAUUAGAAGAUAAACCUAACUAGAUUAGAAUUAAUAUUUAAAUCUAUUAGAAAUUGAUUAAAAUAGAUUUAGAUAUUAAUUAAAGUAUAAAUCCUAAAUAUAUUAGAAUUGGGGUGCAUUUUAAGUUGAGCAUUAUAAAUAGGCAUUGUGGCUCUCUUUUUUGAGAGGAGUAUAACCAUUGGGGUGUCGUACCAGAGAGAGAAAAAGAGAGAGAGAGAGUUAUUUUAGUGCACCUUGUGCACGGGUGCACGUGGAAAGGUCUUCUUUGUGAAUUUUAUAGAAACGACAGAAUGGUAGAAGAGAUUCAGAAAGAGGGCUCGGGUUGUAGCUACUCUGUGUAGAAGAGGAGUCAGGUGUAAUCUUCUUUUAUUUAAUGAAUCUUAUUUUACCUGUAUAUUUUUCUCUUUUAUGAUUGUAUCAGAUUUUGCUGAGAAGACGGGUUUAUGGUAAAAACCCGAUUCGACGCUUCCGUUGCGGAAUCCCAACAAUCGAUACCGAAUCCACAACAGUCGGUAUCGGAGCGGAUUGCGAAUUCACGAGAUCCAGUACCGGGGCGAGUACCGGAUUCCCAACAGUAUCAUGAUCUUGUAUGUCUUUCUUUUUCUUUUUUCUUUUUUCUUUUUUUUUGGCAUUGUAGAGGUUUUAUUUGCACAUUAUCAUGAGCUGUUGCGCCUCUGCAACAAUUUGGGCCGCGACGACGGGAGAUUAUUCAUGGUUCCAGAGGGUGCUUCUGAUUGUUGGCGCAUUCAUGUGUAUUCUAGUUCAGCGUUUGUCCAUUCCUCCUGCAAGCAAGUAGAUGCAUUUGUGUUUGAACAAAUUAAACCUUGUAAUAUUGGUAAUGAUAGUAUUUCCUAGAGAAUGACUAAGCCCUCGUUUCGCUACAUUAUGCGAUUGUUUUUGUUUUGUUUUGUUUUGUUUUGGUUUCUAACUAUAAGAGUUAGUUUAAUUAGUGAUGUAGAACUCAAAAAGUUAAAUUGUGUGUCUCAGCAACAGGCCAAGAGAAAACAUCGAAAAGUGGUACUAGUUCUCUUUUAUCUGCCCCGUGUUGUGUAUCAUUUUUGCCAAAUUAAGAGUUUUACGGGAGUUCUUACCUCCGAUCUCCCUAGUGUUCUACACCUAAUCCUCCGAAUUCGGAGGAGAGUGUACCAAUGAUGAAUCUACUGCUGCUGCUGCUGCUGAUAUUUGCGACAUAAUUUGUGCUCUAGGGGGUGUUUGUCCAAUGUUAAUGUAAAUAUCUUGUAUUAGCCAAUAAAGCUAUGAACUUGGAUCCUUUUAUAAGUGAGCGAGCUCAAUCCAAGUCGAAAAUGAGCCCCUUUUUUUGGACGUUUUCAGUAACAUUUGAUUCAAAAGUUCUAAAGACAUGGAUUGCGAAGUUAUAGAGUGGUCUUCUCAUUUAAACGUGUCAGCUGUUCUUUGCUCUUUUUUCUACCAUACGACGCUUCAAAAGCUUUCCCCAGUUCUUUUUGUACUAAGAUGGUUUGAUGAUCGAUUUUAACUAGUGAUAAGCUUCAUCAAGUGAUUUGAGAUAAUUAAUUGUACUUUUAUGUCAAUUGAACUGACUAUUAGAUUACAAUUGCAACACGAUGGUUUGGAUUUAGGGUCACGGUAGCACUUCACAAAUCUUCAUUGUUUUACUUAACCAUUCUAGGUUUCACUAAUUCACAUCAUGAACAGAUUAGGGAAAUCAACAUUGAGACAGGUCGAUAAAUGUGUUUCGUCCUCGUAAUACGUUUCUUCCCCGCAGCUCAGCCUUAUUCCUCGUCGUCAUCCUCCUCUGGUAGCCCCGCAUCAUCCCCGAUCCCCUCGAGGAGUGCAUCCACGUCCUCGCCGAGCUCCUUGAGUCUCGUGCUCAGCUUCUCCACCUUGCUCUGCUCCUGGCCGAGGCAAACUAGCAGAUCAUUCAAUUCAGCCUCGCUCUCCUUUUGGGCUUCUUCCCUUGCCUCUUCCCGUAUAGCAUCGAUAUCGGGGUAGGGCGCUUUCUCUCCCUUCCGAAGUGCUUUUGCUUCAGCUUCUAGCUGGAGGUUGGCCUGUUCUAGGCUGUUGUAAGCAUCCGACAGGCUUUUUAAAUCGGCUUCUAGCUUUGUGGCCACAUUUCGAUAGUUGGUGGCUUCAGUUUCUAUCUUCAACUUCUCGGAUUUGAGCUUCUCAAUGCGUAGGGCUGCUUCUUGGAGAUCUUGGCGAAGGGCUUCAGACUGAACUCUCUCCCUGCUGCUGCUACCACCUGGCUUCUGGGAGGAAUCAGAUCCGCUGCCUCCGCCUGUCCUCACCAGUUCCUCGGCUAAUGCGGCAUUUCGACUAAGUAGGGCCUGAAGAGGUCAAAACCGAGAUGAUAAAUUAGAGAUAACAUCCAAAUAAUUACUGGAAAUUCAACUUUCAAAUAAGGAACUGCCGACUUAGACCAGAACCUUUUGCAUUCCAACUGUUGAAUCUCCUUAUUAUUAGCUGGGAAAAAUUAUAGAAACAAUUUUCAUAAAUGCCAUCUGAAAAGGGCAUUUUCAAGCAUUUAUCUAUCUUUAUUAUGGGCAUCUGUGAUAUUUCAGACUUUUGGAGGGGAAUACACACCAAUUUUAUGUUUUUGAAACUAAAUGUCUGGUCAAUAAAAGUUAGGCAUGUAGCUGAAAAGAAAGAAAACUUCGAUAACAAACCUGCAUCUCGCUGCAUUGCUUCUCCACAAAUGAUCUCAACCGUUUGAUGUACUCUUCAUCAAUCUCUCCAUCUCUCUGCUCCAACUCUGCUGGCAACACUGUGACCUUAUCUUUCGUACGACUGAAGAUGUCCACAACACGUUCUCUAAUAUCACCUUCGAGCUUACAAAGAAAAUUCACAAACUGUGAAUCAAAGAUUUCAACAAGGAUUGGAUGUCCAUCCUCAGUCUUUUCCUCAUUCUCAAUAACAUCCUCAGUUUCAGCCAUACUAGCUGUAUUCGAUCUUGUAAUUGGCUUGCGCUGAUGGGAUGACGUGGAGAGAGAAGUAAAGUUUUUCUUUAACUCGUCAAACUUGAGGAAGUAUGAGGUUAGACCAAUCUUUUGACUUAUAGCAUCAACAAUGGCGAAGGCAUCUCUCCCAUUCUGACCACUUUUAUUGAAUACAACACAUUCUCCCAAUACAAUAGCAGCCAAUCCACGCACCCAUAUAGUGGAAUUAGCAUUUGACACGAGCUCGAGUAGAUAUGUGAGAUAUGGCGGCGAAUCCAGAAGGCAGUUCACCGCACUGGGACAGUCGGCAAGCCAUGUGAUCAGUAGCUUGAGAAUAAGCUGUUCGGUAUAUGACUCCCCUGUUGAAAUGGCGGGGUUGUCAUCCUUAGUAUUUCUUGCAGAUGUGGAAAGAGCUAAGUGCUUCACGAUUCGGUGCAAGAGUGGUUCUUUCGGGCCUAAGGUUGGCACAGGUGUUUCGAGCUCAAUGCGUAGUACCUGAAAUUUCAGCAAGCAUUUUCAGAUUGGUCCAGCUUUUUUUUUUUUGGUCUGGUCCAGGUUAAUUAGAACAGCUAUUUUCAAUAACUACUUGCUUAAGAAUAUGCUAAUCAAAGGGAUUGUGUGUAUAAAAUCCUUAUAAGAAUAAACAUAAUUAUCACUAAAGAGGAGGAUUAGGUCAAUCCACAUACGCGUUCCUUGCAUUGGACAUUGUCCAUCAGUAUGUGAGAAAGAACACUAGCUGCUCUGGAACAUGCCUGCAUUUCAAUGUAAAUAUAUUAGUACAAUAUUUCAUGCAACUGUCAAAUCACUAUCGGAAAAACAAUGGCGCAUUAAUUCAUUGAAAUAUUUGGUAUCAAUACGAUGGAAGAAAAUAAGAAGUCUUAAGAGUUUCAAGCAUAAAAUUUAUGAGCUUUGCGGAAGCUUCAUGUCAAAAGUUUAAUACCCACUGUCCUCAGUCCUCAGCAAUCAGCAUUUCCAUGCACUGAUGAAUUACAGUGUAGGAGAGAGAGAAAAAUUAAAAGGGAAACAGUACUAGACAUAUCCUAAUGUACAUGUUACUUAUACCUCAUGAAUGGAUCAAUUGUAAUGAGCAGGCAUUGAAAACUGUAAGGCAUAAUAAUAGAUAUGAAGAUCUGAAUCAUGUGGAGAAACAGAUAUUGUAGCUUCAAUACAAACAGACAAAUUGCGUAAUAAAACUUAAUUACAGAGAGAUCUUAGCAGUCUCCAUCUCGAUUAUGUGAAGCACAAAGAUUAGUAUUCAAAGACAGGUACUUAGAAAAGGAUAGUUUUAUUGCAGUGCCAUUUAGUUGAAAAAUCAAUAAAAUUAUCGUUACACGAAUGACAGGAAGCAACUUAAAGCUCACCAUAUGAAACCUCAAAACUCACAACUUACCUCAAAAUCUUCAUUAGCUUCAGUUGAUAUUAGCACUUGCAGAAGCAUACUGCCAAACAAGAACAACUAAAAUUAAUUGAAAGUUUUUAUGAGGAAACCAAAAUUCUUACGUCUAGGUAUGCACUAGACCAAUAAUUACAAAAGAUAAUUUGGUGUCUUAAUAAAUGAACGAACCUUCCAAAUGGCAUACUGACACCAACGUCAAGAGUAGCAUGACUUGACAAGCUAGCAUCAGAAGUCACUGUUGAAGCUAAUAAUGCUUGACCAUCUGAAUUUUUCUGUUGCAACAUGAAAAGUUACUCUUCUUUUUUCAUGUAUACCAUGAAAAGAUUAACUUACUAGCAGAAUCCAUUGAGAUUGGAUGCAAUUCAAAAUAAUCAUUUAGUAUUAGAAUGAUAAACAAGAAAUAUAGUUUUGAAUUAUCUAAACUUCAACUGUCUAAUGAGACGUUUUUACUUCUCUUUGCGGAAGUCUGUAGCAUGAUUGUUUUGACAGUGUCCUCAAAAUUAAUGACCCUAAUACAUGGUAUAGCAUCCGCUGAUGGAUCAACCACUAUAUUUCUAUUUCAAGGAAAAUCAGGGGGAAGGAACCAUGGGGAUAACAAGUUGCAUUAAAGCUUAUAAACUCUUUGGUCUGUGUACUACUCAUUUUAACUGUUGCUGUGGAUUAGUUAAUUGGAGAAAAACAACAGUUUAAACUGAGGAUGUUAAUAGCAAAAUAGUUCAGGUUUAUUGGUAUAAAUACUGCAUCAUUAGAAAUAAUCCUUUAGUAUAGUGUAGCAGGUUGGCAAAGUUCUCUGCAAUAAGUGUAUUUAAUGAGUUUUGCAUUCUAUGUCCCAUUAAAACAGUAUCUAUUGAGCAUCAAAAGGGAACAUUCAUAUACGAUGACGAGUUGUACAGUUUCAAAGGUGUAGAGUCUUUUUUUUUUAAAAAAAAGCAUAUUGUAGAAACUUAAGAAGGAACAACCUCACAAAAGCACUUGAAGACAUAGCCGGCAGCGACAAAUUCCUGUAGUACAGAUGUACGUAUGAGAACACGAAAAAUGGCAUUUAGGGCAGGCUCGACAUGGGGCUCUUCUCCGACUUGCUUGCUUGCAAGAGCAUCAAGAUUCUGAGGAUUUCUCGCAACCAAAUUGCCUAUGCAUCGCAAAGCCUGAAAAAGGUACAUGUAUUUGUUAAAUAGGUAAACAGCAAAAAGUAUCAGGAUAUGCAUGUUUACAACAUGAUUGAAAAUCAAAGAAUAGCUUAUGUACCACCAAAAAAGACAGACCCACAGUUGAAGGGAAAAUAGAUUGUUUACUUGAAGAAAAGUUUUACUAUAUAUUUUGGCAAGUAAUUUUCUCAACUAUGCAUCAUUAAUUAGGUAUUCAUUUAUAAGGUUGAGUACAAUGGCCAGUAAUGUGGAAGGAGCACAGAAUUACUUUCUCAUAACAAACAAACCGAAAAAAAAAAAACAAGAGCAUGAAGGUAGUAAAGCAAUUUCCUUCUUAGCUAAAGCUAGACAAAUUAUCUAAGUUUGCUCGUGCUAGACAAAUUAUCUAAAUUUGUUCAUGCAUGAUAUCCAGUGAUUAUAUGCAUAGGUAAUAGUUACCUGAUGAAUCAAGUAUCAUAGAGGAUUAAGUCCCACAAGAACAGAUGAGAACAAAGGGCUGACGAUAAGGAGAUAUAUGGAAAUAACUGAUUUGGACCUAAACGUUACACAUUCUAAUGAUAUGAGUGAAGUUAGGUAGUGGAGACUUUGGUAAGCAAAUAUUGUGCAACGUAAUAAUUUAUAGGGAAUUAUAAAUCUUUGUAUAAUGGGUCUUUAAUUAAAUAUUUUUAUUCUGCAUGAUGAGCCUUUAGUAAAAGAUUUUUAUCAUUCAUUUACAUAUUUGUUCGUGUAACAAUUCUAGUGCUCAGUGGUUGAGGAACCAAAUAAUAGGACUAAAUGAAAUUGAAUGAUGCACAUGCCACUAAUGAUAUGAAGAUUUCCGCGUAAACAAUCAAAAGGGCCACCAAAUGUCUACAAAAUGCUCUCAUUGUAAUUAAAGUAUCUUACCAAACAGCGCACUGCAACUGAAGCCCAUUGGCUCUCUACUCCCAAGAGUAAAAGAUGGUCCAAAAUUUUCUUCUGCAAUUUUUUUUUGUAGGCAGUAACGUGAUAAGUCACACUUCAGGACUAGAACAGAUGUUUAAAAUUAGGCUACAAUGCAAACAUGCAGAUAUACCUGCGCAAGUGCAGUUUGAUUUGAUAGCCUAUUAGCAUCUUUACCUGGGUCACCUGCUGGUCCUCCGAUCAGAAGUGAUUCAACAGUUUCCAAUGCAUUUAGAAGAUUUACUGUCUAAAAGAAAUGGUGCUUUUGUGUGAAAAACCAUACAUCUCAACAAUAGAAAAAAAGUGAAACUCAGGUCAAGAGUGUGGUAAUAUCUAAAUUACAACAUCCUAUAGCAUGAGGACCUAAUAUGCAGUAAAACAAACAAAAAAAGGAUCAAUUUUACCUUUUGUUGAGUAAAAUUGUAAGCACUACCUCUCCGUAGCUUCAAUAUUGAUACUAAAGGAUCAAACCCAAUCGUUUCCUUCAAUAAUAUCUGAACAGACAAUUUCAAUAUCAGAGACAGAUAGUAAUUCAAAAUUGUUGGCUUUAAGAGGCACUAACCUGAUUAGAUGCAUUAUUACGAAUAAGAUUAUUCAGCAAUUCUAGACAAUCCUGUACAGCAACAAAAACCAUUUAAGUACAAUAAAAGGCAAAAUUGACAAGCAUUUGGGAAAUUAAAAACAGAGACAAAUAGCUAAACCAUUAAAAUUAGAAGAACAUCACAUUCUAGACAAUCCCGAAAGUAUAUCAACAUGCAGAAGAAUGGAUGAUAUAUUGUCAACAUUUAAUAUACUACCUAAUUAAAUGUAAAUAUAGAAACAAUGAAACAACAAGAUAUUAGAAGUCUGAAUAUAAUAAUUGGGUAUUAUAUGGUGGCACUGAAUAAACAGCAUUUGUACAAUGUAAAAGGUCUUACAGAAUAACAGUUUAUUCACACAUUGAAUAAGCCGCAUUCCUUCAAAUAUGAUAAGAAACCAAACGUAACGAAAGAGAAAAUCAGGAGUAGGAUAACAGUUCAUUUCAAAGAUGGCCAGUCUAACUUUCAUAUCAAUCAAAAUAUUGGUAAAGUGAUCAACUGUCCCACAUGGACAAAAGUUCAAAGAUAAUCACCUGCACAACAACACCUCCAUCGGAACCUCCUUCCUCUUUGAUAAUGCUGAAUAUCUUCUCAAAUGCACCCUCGAAAACAACAAUUUUUUGAAUUUCCUGAAAAGCCAAAAUGUAAGAACAAUAAAAGAAUUUUGUUAAACAACUGAAACCAAAGGACAGGAACCAUAGUUUACCUCUGCCUCUCGAGUCAAAUAAGUAAGAAGCAACAAGGCUUCAUUUCUUAUAACCUACAACACAAGCUGAACUGUCAGUCUAGAGAACUGAAAGGGUGAUCAAGCUGCAUUAAAAAGGUAAAACUUUAAAAAACAUAAAAUAUUUCAAACGUUGGCAAACAUAAAGAUCCCAGAAGCAUUAAAAAUGUAGAAUUGCCAACCAAUAAGAUGCCCCAUUGGGUAGCAGAUUUUAAUGGGGGAAAUUUAAAACCCAGCGCCCCCCCCCCCACCCACACAACAGGAAAAAGAAAAAACCCAAAACAGUAUCGCCUUUUGGUACUUUACAACCUUCUGGCCUAAACAGUUUUACCACCCUAUGGGUGCUAUUCAGGUCACCUGUAAGAACCAAUUAAGUAUUGUUGAAACUAGGCACCUUACAGUUACACGAUUUAUUAAAUGGCUAUAAAUUGGGAGAACUAAUAAGAUCAAGAAAUAAAAUCCUUCUUUACAGCAUUCUAAUGGUUCACAUAAUUUUCAUGGUGUUCUAAUGACAGGUCCUUACAAAAACUGAAUUAGGGUUUGCUACAGUAGUAGCAAUAAUGCAAGCACAAAAAAUAGUGGGAUAACAACAAACCUCGCGAUCCAUAAGCAUAUCCAUUAGACGAGUUAUACCACGAGGAAUUGAAAGAAUUGCUUCCUGUAAUCUAGAACAUGAAAAGCAAAGACUGGAUUAAGACAAUUGUUAUAUAUCUACCUCUCAACAGAGAAAAUUUGUAAUCACCUUUUCGGAAAAUGUGUAACAAGGGCUGUUAGAAGCUGCAGGGUAUAGUAUCGCACAUAAAAGUCAUCCUCUGACUGCAAAAAUGAUAGUUGACCCACAUGCCAGAAGCCAAUCAAGUCACAGGACUGAAGAAGUAAAAAAAAUAAAAAAUAAAGAAGACAGUCCUCACCAAUAAACUUAGCAAAAGAGAUAUACUCUCCGCUUCUCGAGAAAGCAUGUCGGAAUUCAAUGAAGCAGGUUGAACCGCAUUUUUUGACGCAUGCAAUGUUUCUAUUGGUGUCAAGGCACUGACAAGAGUUUCUAAGGCACCUCGGACCAUUUCAACGUCAUCACGUUCUUCUUUAAUAACAUUCAGAAGUAUCGGAAACCCUGUUUUAGAACGCAUCAAUCAUGUUUCAAUGAAUUUUGUCACAUACACAAGGUUAAUAGAACCAAAAAAAAAGGCAUCUACCCAUUGCCCCAAAAGCCAUCUGAGCUGAACUACUUUCUGCUACAAGCGACUGAAGUUCCGCCAUAGCAGCCCGCCUAUCGUCUGCUAACACACCAUUGCUAAUACGAUCGAGGAAACGCUCAACAUAGCUGGAACAGAACAGGCAAUUUAANGACAUCGUCUCCCGACAGCUUCUUCCACCCAUCAGGUCCAACAUGAUAAACUACAAACAAACAAAAAAAAAAAAAAAAAAAAAAAAAAAAAAGAAUUCAGGAAUACCUGUUUAGACUUGGAAACAGCUAGAAAGUUAAAUUCAAGCCUUCAACCAUCAUAAAAGUGAGCAAGAGGACAAGAAGAAAAUCCUCCUAUUUAGACAAUUUAAAAUUAUAUACAGUUCCCAUAUAUUUGGGUAAUUUUCUUCUAAAUUAAACAGUUCAUAGCUGACACUACUUGCUUGAACUGUCUUACUUGAAACUUCAUAUAUGUCAUGCAGAAUUUUCUACUUAUAUAGCCAACUGCGGCAUAUGCAAUAUAUGUUAUCUCCACAUCCGUAUAUUAUACCCGCUUUAAGAACAUUGAUUCAUUAAGGCAGCUCAGAAAGUACCCCAAAAGGGGGUAAGUUGAACUGAUGGUCUCCAAACUUUUCUUAAAUCUUUGUUCUUGUAAAGAUGACAAGCGACACUGCAAACUUAAUGCGUCCCAACUAAGCCCCUUGCAUCAUCUCUUAUUAAGUAACAGCAAAGCUGACUCGGCAACCACGGUGCUUACACAGCAGCAAUGUCAAUGUGUGACAGAAAAGAUGAUGUUAAGUGAUGGCAAUAGUGAUGCAAACUUGUCAGCUUGACCUCACUCAAAUUAAUUCAAGAUCAUGGAGAGGACUUUAUCAAAAUUACAGGUGUCGCUUGUCCACCUUUAGAGAAACAAACUGAAGGGGAAACUUUAGGAGUUCAGAAACCAUCAAUGCAAUUUAUCCUAAUGACACAAAGAUAGACAGUUAGCAUUAGUUUGAAGUUUUGAAGUCAAAAUGAUAAUAGUUUUUCAACUUUGCAUACCUCCUCCAAGUAAACCAAGUGGAAAAAGAAAACAUAAGAAUUGUUGUUAGAGCUGAAACUUCAGGUUACUAAGUACUUCAGUUGCGAAAACAAAAAUUUGUCAUGUGCACUCUAUGUUGGUUAACUAAAUUCCAAUUUAAUAAGCUAGAAUUAUUUAGUUCAUAUAGAAAAUUUUUUUUUAAAGAUGAUCAAGGAGGAAAUCUUUCCCAUGUCUAUCUGUCAUUAGGAUCUUAUUAUAACCCAAUAUUUGUCUUGAAAGGAGCACAAAGAAGGUCACAGUUUUGUCGCUCAUGAGACGGUCAGUGGUCACUGAAGUAGCUGACUCUACUCUGACAUUGGACAACUAUACUCUGUAGUUUUAAGCUAUUAAACUAAAGAGUAUUCCCGAGUUAUCAUUUAAAAAGGAUAGUAAAAUGCAACUAAAAAGAAUUGUCAUGAAGCUUUCCAGUGAGUAUAACUACCAAGAUUGGCCAAACUUCUCUUAAUUGAAGAAUCAACAAAACAAAAUUAUAUAGCUGAAUCUAUUGAAAGAAAUAAUGAUAUAAAUCAAUCAGCAUGAAAAAUAAUGUUCAGAGAGAACUAAUGCCAAACAAUACAUUAAGAAAAGACAUGCACUCUUCAGUUUAAAAUAUAUUCAAAGAAAUAAAAUUACUACCUAUCUUCACUUGAAGCAGAAUUUUCACUUCCAAAAACAAAUCCACCAAUUCCCUGACGUCACAUUCAAUAGAUCAGUUUCAGAAACACAUCGAAUGAUGUAAGGAGUUGUAUAUUAAGGUUUUUUUUUUUUAGAAAAGAGAGAACAUAAAAGAAACCAUAAAGGAGUACAUUUAAAAGGCAGCAGCCAUAAAGGCUUAAGAUAUCAAGGUGGUUCAUGCCCGUGUUCUUCUCUGCUAUUAAGUGCCAUGCAUGUUGGGCAAAAUGGCAGGCAAACAAUCACCUUCUAACAUCAACUUGUUUUACUGGAAUUAUAAAAUAAUUAUGAGCAUCCCAAAUCAUAAGACAGAACUGUACUGUACUGCUAAGUGAAAGCAGAAUUCUGUUUUCUAAUCUUACAUCCAGUCAAAAAGCCUAAGUACUAUCAUACCACCUUCUAGUAACACUAAAUCUAGCCCACUAUUAAAUCCACAAUAAAAUACCGAAUUUUAACAGCUUUGAUCAUAUGCAAAUAAGUUAACUGUAUCAAGUAUAUCCCGACACAAUAAAUGUUUACAGGGAUAAGAAAAUUUGAAAAAAGAAGAGAAAUCAUUACGCGAGGAAUGGACUAUGGCAAAAUAGCUUCAGGAGAUUUUACUAGGUUUUCAACACUGAAAGAAGUAAAAUUGUAGCUAAAGAACGAUAUAAAGCUAGCACACAGAUAUUCGUAUAAUCAUGGUAAGGAAAGCUAUACAAAUUAAACAAUCAAAAGGUUUUCAAUAACUAAACCUGCAUGAUAUUCCCCGCACUCCCAGCAAUUCCUCUGAAAUAAGCUGAUUUAGAAUCCAUAACAAAAAGCUUGCAGAAACUAACUAGAUUCUACUUAAUAUACCCUGCAAGAGAUCACAUAAAUUCAAAAUGAGGUUACUGUAUACAACAUUCCCGAAGCAUAACUGCUCCUGAGUGACGAGAACCCUUCAACAAUUGAUCUCAAUUAGGGCUUCGUUCACGAAUCCUUCAUGUAGUGGAUUGAGCUACGGGUAAAUUAAGCGAUGAUUCGAUUGAUUAAAUUAAGGAAAAAAAUGAGUAAAAAUAGCGGAAAAAUAGGAAUCAAAGUAGCCACGAUCCCACGCAAAAGAGAAGUAGAAAACCUUCGGAUCGACGCAUAUAACACACGUACCUGGAUCGAGAAGAGGGACUUAGCUAUCAAAUUGCUUAUAUCUAGCCCUAAAUCCACGAUAAUCCGAGAGAGAAGGAGAGAUGGUGAUGGAGAUUGGAGAGAGAAACAAUGGCGAUCGAGGGGAUGAGGACGAAGACGAGCGUUUGGGUUCCCAAUGGUGUGAGAGUAAGAGGAAAAGAGAUCGAUACAGAGCCAGAGGAACUAUUACGAGGAAGCGUACACUCGACUCGUUUUUGGUUCCAUUUUAGAUGUAUUUUCAAACCGAACCCAGGGUUUUCUGGUCUAUCUCUUUAAGAACCGAACCGAACCGAACCAUAUCGAACGGAAUUUACCCGCAAAACCGCACUGAACAAACCAAUGCAAACCCGCGGGUUGACUCCAGGGAUGCGGCGCAGGGAUGAAAAUAGGUCCAAGUUGGCAUGGCCGUCAAAUUCUUUUUUUUUUUUUUUUUUUUUUUUUUUGAUCUGUACCGACUUUCAUUUUGAUCCGAUUUAAAAAAAACAGUGAGUAAGAGAAAAAAAUUCUGUUUAUAUCUGUAAUAUUAGGACAUUCGAUAAAUUUCAAUAAAAAAGCCGGUUGAAAUGAAAGAGAAUAAAAAUGAAUCAGAAGUGAGAAACCCAAUUUUGAAUCCCUCAUAAAAGGGCAAAUUUUUUUUUGGAAUAAGUAAGCAGUAAAAUUUCUAGAGAAUUUCUAACUUUUUUUUGGAACCUAUCUUUUAGAAUAUGAAAGUGAGCAUUUGUAGUUUUUUAUGCAUCACAAAAAAAAUAUACAGUAUGCAUAAUGAAAAAAGAAAAUAUAUUAAAGAUAUACUUAAUUUAUUAUAUAAUUUUUUUUUUUGUUCGACUUUGAUUUCAAAUCAUUUCAAAUACAGUUUUUAGAUUUGAGGUGCAGUAUGGUUGGAAAAAAAAAAAAGAAAAAGAGGCAGAUUGGGUUGAGUUGGUCCGUUUGCCGGAUCAAAACCUCCUUUUGCUCAAAUUGCGAACCAAACCAAACCAAAAUAAAUCGGCUUGGUCUGACUUGCUCGGUUGGGUUCAUUAUUAAAUAGAUAGACCUGAUAACUUUAAUUCGAAUUGCACAAACCUCUAAACUAGUUUAUGAAUACUAUAAUUACAAAUUAGUUAUAAACAUUCAAAAUUGCAGGCUAGAACUGAACUAUAUUGACAGACAAAAAUAGAAUUUUAAUUAUACUUAUAUUUUUUUUUGAAUGCAGAUAUAUAUUAAAUGCUAAAUUUUAUUUGUUGAAAAUAAAUUCAGCUUUAGAUAUAUAUAAUUCAGAUAAUAAUAUAUAUAUUUAUAUUUAAUAUGAAUAUAUAAGUAACUUUUUUUCAAAGAAAGUGUUACCGAAAAGAAAAGAAAAAGUGUCCACUUUCGUGGCUUGGGCCGCUUGCGGCUUUUAAAAUGAGGCUCGACUCAAAUCCUUGGCUUGGUGUCCUUCGUUCGGUUCGGUAGUGGGUAAAAUUGGUAUGGUUCGGUUCGGUUCGGUUCUAAAGAGGCUGACCCGUGAGCUUCAGUUCGGUUCGGGAGAAAAAAAAGACCGAAACAAUCCAACUCGAGUCCUCUAAGACUUAGUUUGGUAUUUAAGUAUAUCUUAUGCUAUUAAAUAAAAGCAUAUAAAGAUAUGCUUCUGCGUUUUUCAAUAAAAUCGCAUAAAAUAUAUCAUAAUCGAUUCAUCGCGAUAUGCGAAAUACAAUAUUAUUUAUGAAAACAAACAUAAUAUUUUUUUAUCGUACUUUCUCACCGCACGUAACCAAUCUCUUGAUUCUCUUCUCCACCAUCAGAACCCAAACACUCAUCUUCAUCCUCUUCCCCUCGAUCGCCAUUAUCUCUCUCUCUCUCUCUCUCUCUCUUUCUCUCUCUCUCUCUCUCUAAUUAUCCUGGGUUUAGGGCUAGAUAUAAGCGAUUUGGUAGCUAAGCUACCUCUCCUGGAUCCAGGUAUGUAUGUAUGUAUGUGUUGCGUGCCGAAUGUCCUGACCCUUGACCCGGUCAAUAAUUCUCUUCGGAAAGAUCGUCGGGAUGCGAGACGGCUGCGAAUUAUGACUCUCGAAAUAUGCCCUCACAGAGGAUCAAGCGAUUAGGCCGAUGAGGGAUCAAGUCGGCCGGGUUCAAAAACCUCUGCAGUAAAUUCGCUUUGGCAGGAUGAGCCGAAUGGAGAGGAGAAGCCCAGAAUUCGAUUAAGAAACGAGCUAAAUGGCCAAACAACUUGUGAUCUGAUCGGCCGGAAGAGCCGAAGAUGACCUUCUAUUGAAUAGCAAAAAGGAGUGAUACCCGUAGGGCAGACAGACUCCGAGUAUGGGAACAGGGGAGUGAUGCCCGUAGGGCAAACAGAUUCCGAGUAUGGAAAAUUACAGGAACUACUCCUAAGGAAAGCAAUAAAUGCGAAAAUAGAAAGAUGCAGAAAAAUAAAGGUGGUUUUUUGUGCGCAGGGGCGAAGACCCUUUUUUUAGGGUGCUGCAUGCCUAUUUAUAAAGUUGCCCUUGCGUUUAGUUAUCGUCAAUACACGAUCGGCCACUAUCUCCUGAUUUGUAGGACCACCUUCGGCCGAUUGGAACUGCUCAUAACCGCUUGUAGUUGCUAUGUUUUUUGAACAGACGCGACUCAUAUUUUCUGGCGUGUUUUAUAUACUCCCGGUCCACCAUUUUGACAUGGGUCAUGGACGUAGUCCCGGCUUGCAGUAAAUACGAGAAUAGAAAGAUGGAGAAAAAUAAAGGUGGUCUUUUGUGCGCAGGGGCGAAGACCCUUUUUUUAGGGUGCUGUAUGCCUAUUUAUAAAGUUGCCCUUACGUUUAGUUAUCGUCAAUGCACGAUCGGCCACUAUCUCCUGAUUUGUAUGACCACCUUCGGCCGAUUGGAACUGCUCAUAACCGCUUGCGGUUGCUACGUUUUUUGAACAGACGCGGCUCAUAUCUUCUGGCACGUUUUAUAUACUCCCGGUCCACCUUUUUGACAUAGGUCAUGGACGUAGUCUCGGCUUGCCAGCUGUCCGCACCGAAUUGACCCAACAGUAUGUAUGUAUAUGCGUCGAUCCGAAGGAUUUUUACUUCUCGUUUGCGUCGGAUCAUGGCUACUUUGAUCCCUAUUUUUCACCGAUUUUUUCUUAAUUUAAUCAAUCGAAUCAUCGCUUAAUUUACCCGCAGUUCGAGUUCUCAUCACUCAGAAGCAAUUGUGCUUCCGAACGAAAAAGCCGUAAAUGAUAAUCUCGCUUUCGUUUAUGUGAUCUCUUGCAGUUGCAGGGUACGUAUAGUAAGUGGAAUCUAGUAGUUUCUACAAGCUUUUAUUUUACCUUUUUUAUAUUGAAACCUUUUUUAUUGUUUAAUUUGCAUGGCUUUCUUUUGCCAUCCUCAUACGAAUAUAUUUGUUGUAUUACCUUUUGAUUUUUUCAUGAAUUAUUUGAUUGUACGUAGUUAUAACUGUACUGUAAUUCUAAUUAUAUAUAAAUAUUUAAAUUUUAUAUUUAUUUUAAUAUAUUUGAAUUUAACUAUUAUAGUUGUAACUGCACGAAAUAUCUUGCAGUAAUCGAAACUACGUCUAAAUUGACCGUAGUUCAAACUACAGCACUCGAUACUAAUAAAUUUAAACAGAGUAAUGCAUCUUCUUAUUAGCCUUUUCCUUUUUCUUUUCUUUAUAAGGUAUAAUAUUAUCACCCUAUAUAUAAAAUAGUAAAAUUUAUAAAUACAAUUUUCAAUGGCAUGUAGUCAAACAAAGCUUGUAUUUUAGCUUAGAUUUCAUAAUUACGUGAAUACAGUGUUGGAAAUAGUCAAAUCUCUCGGAGCUAUUUCCCAUAAUUAUUAUACAUGACGAUCCUACUGCAUUGAUUUAUUAUACUUUCAAAAGAUUUAGAUAAUAAAAUUUGAUCUUAUGCGUUUGAGUGAGGUAAUCCAGAAGAGAUUAGAACGGAGGCAAUAAAUUAUAAGAUAAAGAUACUUCUGAAAAAAAAUAUUAUCAAACACCCUUUUUUAUAAGUAUGGAUAAUUUAAAGAAAAAACUUCAAAUACUAUUUCUAUAGUUUCACACUUUUUUAUUUUAAUACUAUAUGACUUAAAAUGUAUCAAUUUAAUACUCCGUGAUUUUAUUUUUCUCUUUUUAUUAUUCAAUCUACUAUUUUUUUUGUUAAAUUAGUGACAAAAUUAAAAUUAAAAAAUAUUAAAGUAAAUAUUCGAUAAAUUUAGGUAGAAGUAUCUGAAAUUUUUUUUGUAUAUAAUUUAACAAAAUGUUAAUGGAAUAACUGACGAAAAAAGAGAAAUAAAAUCAGAUGGUACUAAAUUGAUACACUUUAAACCACAAGGUACUAAAAUGAGAAAGUGUGAAAUCACAUAAGUGGUAUUUAAAAUUUAUCCUAAUUUAAAUAUUAUAAAUUAUAUUUAAUGAGUUAAGUUUUACUGAUUAAACGCUCAGUUAAAAAAAUUUGCAGUGUACUAAAAAGUCUAGAAUAAAGUAAUAAUAUUAUUGGCAUGGUAUUUUAACCAAUCAAAUUAUUUUUUAAUUUUAUUAUUUUAUUAUAAUUUUUAAAAAUAUAUUUUUAAUUAUCUUUUGAAAAAUAUAAAUAAUGAAUCGUACCUGCUAAUACUGUAAACUUAACUCGUGGUGACGUGGUGUACACGACGUCCAUCCCGUGGAGGCAAAUAUUAAUAAUCUAUCCUAGCAAUAGCGUAAAAGGUAUUAAAAAUUAGAAAAAUAUUGCGGUGGGACCCACAAGGUUUGACCGGUCAACACAAGGAACGCAAAACGACAAAACCUCGCGCUCUCCCCCCCUUCCUUUUCUCUCUCCCUCUCUCUCUCUCUCUCCUCUCCUCAUUCGUACUUUGACUCCCACCACACUCUCAGAGGAAGAGGAAAGCGAGGAAGAGGAGGAAAAAUCGAACCACCCUUUUCCCUUUCCCAUUCUCCCGAUCUGUGUACGAUUUUUCCACAACAUCUUCGAAGAGGAGGCCGCGGAGGAGGAACAGGAGGAGGAGGAGGAGAGGAGCCGUUGAUUACUUUUGCGUGGAGGUGAUUUGGGUUUGGGAUCGCCAAAUCGAUCGGUAAUACAUGUUUUUUUAUCACUUUUUUUUUUUUGAAUGAAUUGUUGUUGUGUUUUUAGUACUCUGAGGUGCUAAUGUGGUUGGAUCUGCGGCUAUAUUUGGGUUUAGGAAUUUAUGUUGCAUUUUGAGCCUUUUUUUUUUGGACAAUUAGGUGUUUUCGACGACAUUUCGGUGAUUUUGUAAAGGUUUUUGCUCUGAAGAUGGCAAACCUUUUCUUUUUCCCGGUGGAAGCUUAGGGUUUUCAAAUUUGUGUGGAAAAAGGUCCGAUUUUGCGGGCAAAUUUGUAAGAUCUUGUAGUAAUAAACUAUCUCAGAGCCAUCGACAGCGAAGCUAAUUACUUUUUUGUUUUGAAAAAAAAAUGUAUUGAUCUUACUUUUCCUUAUAUUCCUUUUGAUUUCAAAUGAGUGCAAAUUACUCUGUCGAAGUAGUCAAAAUAAAACUAAGCAUACUUAGAUCAAAGAUAUAGUAAGGGUUGGUGGUAAAGUAAAACUUUUCAGAGUAUAGGCAUCCAUCUUAAUAUGCGUUUUAGUGCAGGUAAGCUCCAUACAUUUUUUACCCUUUUCAAAGUUUCUCUUUUUUAAAGACUAUUUAGAGGGUUAGUUUCUUAGUUACUGUAAUCCAGCUGAAAACAGUCUAUUUGCUGGGUAACAGCAAGUAUAGUAGCUGUCCAUGAUAUUUUUCAUGUUUGCUGUGGAUAUUAAUAGUCAAACUGUACAAAAAAGUAGUUGGACUGGUAGAUGUGGAAAGUCACAAGCUGUUGAAUUUGAUGGUAUCUUGGUGGAUAAUAUGGAUUUGCAUUAAAGCCUUAGUAAUAUUGGGCCUCAUUUGUUAAUUGCUUACUUGAUUCUUAUUUGUUACUCAUUUUUGUAUAGGGUUCUUGUUUACGAUGUAUUUGAGAGCAAAGCUGCUUGUUUUAGGUGAAAGAACGAACCUUUGGCUGUUUUUUGACUCUUUUAUGUGUAUUUCAUGGUACAAUAUAGGACCCCUUUAGCUUAUGCUAUCGAUGCCAAGAUGUGGUUUAUUUUUAUUUUGCACCUAGGAUCAUUUGAUUAUGUAUCUUAUAAGUUAAUGAAUAGAUCUCUUGUUUUAUUUUUUUCUUAGAUGCUUUUUUCAUAUUUUGUUACACAGUGAGAACUGUGCUGCAACCAUUUUAUUCCUUCUCAUUUUUAUGUUUGAUAUCUUGCAGUUAAUUAACCGGGCUACUAAAGAAGACAUGCUUUUAUGACACAUUUACUUGGAUUCUUGGAUUAGAUUUUAUAAAGUAUGGCUACAGUUGGUGUUAAUGCUGAUAGAUUGCCUGAUGAGAUGAAUGAGAUGAAGAUUAAGGAUGAUAAGGUAAAUGAUGUGACAUCUUAUUAUGUAGUUGGGCUUUGUGGUUUUCUUGGCAGUUGUUUAAAAAUUGGUAUUACUUUGUCAUACACUUUGUAACAUGUGACAACAUUAUCUCCAUGAAUUACUGUAGGAAGUUGAAGCAACGGUGGUUAAUGGGAAUGGGACAGAAACUGGUCAUAUAAUCGUGACAACUAUAGGCGGUAGAAAUGGCCAGCCAAAGCAGGUAAAGACAAAACCUAGAAAUACCGGCAAUCUUUCUAGUACGAUUUUACUUGGAGUUUAAUAUCAUACAUAACUAAGCUUCAUAGAAACCACAUUUGGCUACCCUGGGGGAAGACUUGCUCAGUGUCAUUUACCACCUUGCCAAUAGAUCAAUGGGUUGAAAAAAAUCAAAUACUUAUAGGGGGUUUUCUACAAUUAAGCUGUCAUCUUUUUAUCAUGAGAAGCAGAAGGCCAGGCAUAUGAUCUGAUUGAUUAAGUGAUAUGUCUAUCUGAAGGUAACCAAUUUAGCCUGCUAAAUUGGUGCUCACUGUUAAGAUGUUUCCUGUGCUAGUUGAUUCACUAUAAAUCUUUCGGAAGUGCUCUUUUAAUAACAUCAUCUAUCUUAAUUGCAGACUAUAAGCUACAUGGCUGAGCGAGCUGUAGGGCAUGGAUCAUUUGGAAUUGUUUUCCAGGUUAGUUUGUAGUGAUGGCAUUACAUAAUGUUUGUUGAGUUCCACUGCUUCCACAAGUUUACCUACAUGUUACAUACCAAUGUAUAGGGUCUGAAUAGGUCAACUUGGUUCAGUUUUAGGUGGUUUUCAGAAACCCAACUGCACCAAAGUAAAUUGCUUUGGAUUGGUUGGUUUAUUAGUUUGGAUAUGAGACUACAUUUUUGCGCUAUUGUGUUAGAGUGAUUACUCAUGUAAGGUGGGAUCAGUGUUUGAAAAGGCGCGCCUAAGGCGUGGGCCUCAGCAAUAGCGAGGCGAGGCGAGGCGAGGCGCGGUGCUAUUGUCGAGGCGCGCGCCUCAGGGCCGAGGCGCGAGGCGCACAUAAGGCGCGCGCCUCGCAAUAUUUAAUGUUAUUGGGUUUUGGAUUAAUGUUAUUGGGUUGUUGGGUUUCGGAUAUAAAUGUUAUGUUUUAACGCGAUAAGAUUAUUAAAAGAUCCUAAAAGCAACCUAAAAAAACCCUAAUGAAAUCCAUCUACCGCCUUCUUUCCUUCUACCGCCCUCUCCUCUCCUUCGUAUGUACUCCUAUCCCUUCUCUGUCCGUGGGCUUCCAGCAAGCAUCCUCAGCCAUCCUGGCAGCAGGAACAAGCAAGGAGGAGCAGCACGAAAAGGAUGAGGAUGAGGACGAGGAUGAUACUUGAAGAAUGAUCAAAUGAAAACAUUGGCACCACAAUCACUUCUAAGUUUUAAGUUGAAAGUUGAAAUAUAUUUCUUUUAACUUGAGAAUCUAUAUGCAUGUGUAGUUAUUUUAUUUUUGUAUGGUUAUUUUAGAGUUUUUUUAAUGUAGAACAUCAAAUUAAAUUAGUCUUAGUAAAUGUGCGCCUCGUAUUCUUGCCUCGUGCCUAGGCUCCAGGAGAGUCUUGCGCCUUUUUGCGCUUCGCGUCUUUUCAAACACUGGGUGGGAUAUAAUGUAUGAUUAUCUUAUUUGUCAGAGCUUUUAUCUGAUGGUUGUUGUUGUGGUUAAGUAUUGCAACUCUUUGAUCACUGUUUAAUGGCUAACCUGUAUCAAACUAUUGUAAAUUUUGGUUAAUCUGGUUUAUUUUGUUAGUUUGCAAACAAAGGUCAACAAAAUACUGGUAAAACCGAAUCAUAUCUACUGAAACAACUGAUUUCACUCUGGCAACUUAGUUUGGACUGCUGUGUAGCGCAUUCCUCUGCCGAUGAACUUAUUUAUUUUUUCGUUUGUACUUUACUAUUCUAUGUCAUGUAGGCAAAGUGUCUGGAGACAGGUGAGACUGUGGCCAUUAAGAAGGUUCUUCAGGACAAGAGGUACAAGAACCGCGAGCUGCAGACCAUGCGCCUACUUGACCACCCGAAUGUUGUCUGUUUAAAGCAUUGCUUUUUCUCGACAACUGAGAAGGAUGAGCUCUACUUGAACUUGGUUCUUGAGUAUGUGCCCGAGACCGUUCAUCGGGUCAUAAAGCACUACAAUAAAAUGAACCAACGGAUGCCACUUAUAUAUGUGAAACUUUAUAUGUAUCAGGUAAGAAUUACCUUUCUGUAAACAGAUAGAGGCCCUGUAUGGAAACCUUUUGGUUUUUUUUUGCUUUUGUUGUGUUGUCUUUCGGUUAGAGUUUAUCAGGUAAAUAUAUUACAGUUUAUAUUUUUUAUAGUCUAUGUAUGAUUCACAUAUUGGUGUGAGAUCUCAAUAAUGACUAUUGCUAGUUGGAUUUUUACAGUAGGAGCUAUUAGAUGCAUAAAGCAUUGUGAGAACGAAUAAGUGAUACUUGUUAUGUUGCAUCUAUGAAUAAUUCUACCGUCAUAAAGCAGUCAUCAUUUUUAUUAAUCUACUUGUCUUGAAGCAUAUUACAGCUAAUGAAAUAUUGUACUUUUACAGAUCUGUAGAGCACUGGCAUAUAUUCACAAUAGCAUUGGAGUUUGCCACAGGGACAUUAAGCCACAAAAUCUUUUGGUAUGCACGUGUACUGUUAUCAUACUUUCCUGCAAAUUAGUUUUGGUUAGACUUGUCUGUCUAGUGGGAACUAUAUGGCUCUUUUGUCUUCUUACAUGAUUUUUCAAAUUGAAAAUGCUGAGUAUCUUUCUUUACGUAAGUUAUACUAUUAUAUUAUAACCAGGUAAGUGGACUUUCUACUUUUUCUGUAAUAGGUUAAUCCACAUACUCACCAGCUGAAACUCUGCGAUUUCGGUAGUGCAAAAGUCUUGGUAUGUAAAAUUAUGAUGCAACCUAUCAUUAUUUUUACAACACAUACUAGAACUUUGUUUUAACUUUCUAAUUCUCACAGGUUAAAGGGGAACCAAAUAUAUCAUAUAUCUGUUCUAGAUACUAUAGGGCUCCAGAGCUCAUAUUUGGUGCUACUGAGUACACUACAGCAAUCGAUAUCUGGUCUGCUGGUUGUGUUCUUGCCGAACUCUUGUUAGGACAGGUAAAUACUUUUCUUUGAGAUAUUUGCAUACAUGCCCCUGCAUAACUAUCCAUUUAUAUUUUAUAUAUCUGAGAAAUCUAAAAUUUUCAUAUUUAUUCCUCAAUAGUGCAAUUUCUUACAAAAAUGGACGCAAAUUGAGAGUCAACCAGUUCUUGGUGGCAUUUAGCUUUGUAUUGGAAAAAAUUUGUAAAGAGGGGCAUGUUAAAGUAUAAGGGUAUAUGUGUAAGAGACUAGUUUCGAAGGGCACAUGUGAAAAUUGUAGCUUUGCAGAGAUAUAUGUGUAAAAAAGAAACAUAUGCAGGGGGUAUAUAUUUAAAAUACUUAUUUUCAAAAUCUUGUUAUUUGAGUUGUGAAGAAAAACAAUGGCAAAAAAAAAAAGAAAAAAAAAAUCUGCCCUUUAACUAUUGAUCUGUUCUUUAACAGCCUCUCUUUCCUGGUGAGAGUGGAGUCGACCAGCUUGUUGAAAUUAUUAAGGUAAUGGAACCGUUGACUUGAUGCUUAAUUAGUUGUUCGUAGCUGUUCUUAUGGCAAUAAAACACCUGUUUUUUGACACCUUUUCUCACUUCUCCUGCAGGUUUUAGGUACCCCGACAAGAGAAGAAAUUAAAUGCAUGAAUCCAAAUUACAAUGAAUUUAGAUUUCCACAAAUCAAAGCCCAUCCAUGGCACAAGGUUGGAAUAUUAUCAACACCUAUUCUUACCAAUGUGAUACUUUUUUAAGGUUUUUCCUUAUUUUAGGCUGUUCCUGAUCAUGCCACUUUCUUACCAGAUAUUCCCUAAACGAAUGCCACCUGAAGCUUUAGAUCUCGUCUCUCGGCUUCUCCAGUACUCGCCAAACCUUCGAUGCACUGCUGUGAGUAGUUUAAAUUGACACACCGCUCUAAGUAUAGAAGUGAAAAUUUCCGAUGUGCCUAUGCAUUCUCCUGGUAAAGCUUAAUUUUGAUUACUCAUGCCUUUGAAAAUUUCUUCUUUUGUCCAGUUGGAAGCAUUAAUUCAUCCUUUCUUCGAUGAGCUUCGUGAUCCAAGUACCCGCCUACCGAAUGGCCGUUUUCUGCCCCCUCUUUUUAACUUCAAACCUCACGGUAAGUCUUAAUGGAAGGUUAUUGUGAUGCGUGCCCUAUGGAUGGUUGAUGCGAGAAUCAUGACCCACCAAUAGAUAAGAAAUAAUCCACCUCGUUAAACUAGGGCACUCGGGAGAGAAACGAUUAACCUGAAAACAGUUGCUUUGCUAGUUAUUAAUGUGUCUUUUUUUGUUUUUUGCGCUUAAAUAUAAUCAACUGAUAUUAAUUUGCUCUUUUCUACAUUGGCAAAACAGAGUUAAAGGGAGUUCCAGCGGAGACUCUCAUGAAGUUGAUUCCAGAGCACGCGAGAAAGCAAUGCGCCUUUUUAGGUUUAUAAGACGGGCUGCUUGAGAAUUUUAGCUUAUAUUAUCCGUUCUUGUUGCGAGACUGCUCUAUGAAGGGAAAAUGGCGUUUCUGGUGCACACGUGGUUUAAACGGAACCUUUGAAGCUGUGACAGUCCUCGAAUCUCAUCUGCUCAUGUAUGAGGAAUGUGUAACACUGUAAUUGUGUAGUAGAUUCUUAUUUAUCGGAUCCAAAUGCUACUUCCAGUUUCUGAUACCCUAUUAAGAGUUUCUUGUCAUUUUGCGUGUUGGAAUCCAUGCAGCAUGCGUUGGUCAAUCUAUCAUUAUUAUUUGCUAUGAGCUGGUGCAGAGUGUGUGGUGCGUUCGUGUCAAAAUGUUUGUAUUCUGAGAAUUCUCUAAAGUUGUAAGAUGAUGGGCCCAUUUGGUUCAGAAUCGAUUCGCGACAUUCGUUGAUCCUUUUAUAGUUUCAAUUUGAAUCGGUGAUCGUGCCGCUGCAAACCUGGGGGGAGGUUAUUUUCAAUUUGAAUUGGCGGUAUUGCAGCUGCUGCACAACUCAGGGGAGUAAAUUGCAGGAUUUCAAAGGGUUUAUUUAGUAAAAUUUUUCUAAAUAUUUCAACCUUGUCUCUGGAGAGUAGAAUUCUACAUAACUUAAAAAUUUAUGGCGACUGAAUCGUGAUUCGGGAAAUAUUGAGGGUCUAAACUGCAAUCUUGCAAUGAACCAACAUACCUGGCUAUAAAAGAAGGGGGAAAGGGAGGUGGCGGAGGGGGAGGGAUAAUAACUGAGUAAGGAUGCCACUGGGGAAGUACUACUGCGACUACUGCGAGAAGCAGUUCCAGGACACGCCCUCCGCCCGGAAGCGCCACCUCCAGGGCGCCACCCACCUCCGCGCCCGCGCCCUCUGGUUCGACUCCCUCAAAGGUACCGGAAAAAAAAAUUAAAAAAAAAAGAAACAACUGUUCUACUUUUCUCUCGCCCACGCAUUUCCACAAACACCUGGUGCUCAAAAUCCUCCUCCUCCUACUACUAUAAUCUUGUUGUAUCCUUUUGGAUCAGUCGCGGAGACGACGCACGGGAGCGCCUCUCUUCCGCUUCUCCGUCGUCCUCCCGAUGGGACCUUCGCUGCUGCUGCUGCUGCUGCUCAAGGGGUCUGCCGCCACUUCGUGCGCACAGUAAGUUCGGAGCGCCUCUCUCUUCUCAAGAAUUUGGAGAGGUUUCUCUUACUUACUGCUUCGUUUUGUGUUUGUAGGGGGUUUGUAGAUACGGAGACUCGUGCAAAUAUUAUCAUCCGAAGCCGGAAUUUGUGAACCAAGCCGCAGCCGCAGCCGCAGCCGCAGCCACAGCCGCGUCAGGUGAAUUGAGUUUUGAUGCAAUUUUUUUUUCAGUAGGGAAUUCAAUUAUUUGUGUCUUGCUAUUACCUACUAAAUGUGACGUAUGAACAGUUUCCUACUAGAUUGACAUUUUUGUUAACAUGUUCUCUUAUCUCUUCUAUAAGCGAAAUGUUAUAAAUGAGUAGCCACUCCUUAUUGUAUGAUACAAAAUGAGUAGUAAGUUUAGGCGUGGUUCGGUGGAGUAUAUACGAGAAAAUUGUGCGAGAACCUAUGAUACCUGGAAAGUUUCGUAGAUUAUAAAUAUUUUGUGGCAGUUUUGUUUAUCCCAGAUCCUACUUGGUUUUGCUUCGACGGUGGCUCAAGUAGAAUUUUAGAGUUCCAUGUCUAUAGAAACGAAUACGCAAAAUGUCUAAUUAUCGCAUUUGGAGACCCCUCCAUUACAUGCCCUAGUAUGACUCAGAAAGGAUGCUCAGAUUUUACACGCUAAGUAUGGAGAAAUCUCGCGUCUCAAAUUGUAUGGCUCUUUUUUUUUUUUUUUACCUUUUUCUUUACGAGGAACUGCUGUACUCUGUGCAGCAGGGCUUGGCGUUGCCGAGGGAGUGCAGGCACCCAAUUUUUUCGGUAAUCCACUGACCGGAGGCAGCUCUUUUUCGGGUAAUAUAGCAUUCAAUUGUUACUUUUGUUCAGCAACAUGAUGUGGGUUGCACAUGCUGCUUAUACAAUAGGAUUCGACACUUUGAUUCCUUGGAUGAUCUUUAUGUUGAUAUAUCUUGCUCUUGGUAUUCAAGAUAAUUUGCUCAUUCACUUAAAUAGAUUCAACUGCAAAAUGAGUCAUCUUGAAACCACUGCAAUGAUGGGUUGUUAGUUUUCGAACCAUUAGUGAAGCCAAAUUUCCCACCAACCGGUUUUCAAUAAGAAAUGCUUUUCGCCGACCAUAUUAUACUUAUUCAUAGAAUGAUCACUUGAAUUUGAUAGCGGCGGUUGUUUAGCACCUCUCUCUCUCUACAGUACAUUACUGAGUAACUAUGGUAGACUUAAUUGUCAGAUCAGUUUUAACCGUGUUAGUAACAUUUUGCGACUGAUAUAUCGCAGGAGAAAUGGCAAGGGAUAAAAUGGCAUUGUGGGGCCACUUACCUCCAUCACUCCAACCUCCUCCGGAUGGAGGUUAUCCACCCCUUCCAUUUGUCGACUGGGGUUAGAUAUUUGUGUGAACAUGUGUUAGAUCACUUAUCACGUUUACUGGUAGAAUGAUGUGAACAUAUUCCGAUUUGGUUUAUGUAAUGGAAGUUUAUGAAAGAAACAUUUACGUUAUAAGAUUCAAUCAAGUUGAAAAUGCAACUGCAAUACUAAUUGAAAGAAUAUCUGAGUUAACAUUAUAAUCAGAUUCCAUUUGUUCUAUGGGGAAGUUAGAAUGAUUGAGAAAUGGAGCAGGGACUGCUGCAAUGUAUCUCCUUGUCCUUCCAAUGGGGGAGUGCUGCUAUCUUCGGCAGCUCGAGUUCAACCAUUUCAAAUGCUGGAAGCAAAAUGACAAUUCCUUCGAACUAAAAGCCUGGGGCUUCUAGCCAGGACAGAAAGCCAAACGAGAAAGCACAAGCUGAAAUUCAAACAAUUUUCAGCUAAUAAGAGAUCGGAGGCCAACAUCCUAUCCCAAUGAUUGCAGACAACUAGAGCAAAUCUAUUUCAUAAAAUUUUACGGAAUCCAAAAGACAAGUCAUAAGAAGAGACUAAACUCAAACAAGGUACUCUGAACUCUUAAGGACCCAGAAUUAAAAACUUCUGAUGUUCAAAACAGCUACAUACUUCAAAUAGAUUAAACUCUUAAAAAAUGUCUUAAUUAUAAGCCAAAAAAAAAAAAAAAAACAUUUCGCAGACGGCUUCGACCUGUUUGCUUAGAUGAUACCGAUCUUGUUCGCAACAUCAAGAGCAUCGUGAUCCGGCAUCAAUCUCACAUACGCCUUCUUCGUUCCAUCAGGCCUGCAUUGUGUUAAAAAAUACGGCUUUUAAGUUCUGAGAUAGCGGUAUUUAAAUGCUGAGUGGUAACAUCCAAUUCUUGUAAGUUCAAGCAACCAUUUUAAGAUGCGCUACAACACGAGUAAGGUCUAUAUGCUUUUUUUACAUGCUUUUUUUACCUGAGAAAACGAGUACACAAAACUCACCUUAUGAGGGUGUUGACUUUCUUCGCCUGGAUGUCAUACAUCUUCUUAACAGCCGCCUUGAUCUUCUUCUUGUCAGCCUUGAUAUCCACAAUGAAGACAAGCGUGUUAUGGUCUUCGAUCUUCUUCAUGGCAGAUUCAGUGGUGAGGGGGAAUUUGAGGAUCUGAUAGUGGUCCAACUUGUUCCUAGGUGUGACACUGAUUCUAGGGUACUUGGGGUCCCUCGCUUUCUUCUGUGUCUUAGGCCGGUGGAAGGUCACCUUAGUACGGAUCUUCUUGGCCUUCCUCUUCAGUGUCGCCGGCCCGGCCUUCACAGCCUUCGCGACCUUCUGGGCCUGGGAUUUGGCAUCAGCUUUCUUCGCAGGAGCUGGUUUAGAAUAAUUAGAAGGUAUUAUCCAUGAGAGGCAUAGGGUUAAAGAAAACAAUGGAUAGACCCGAUAUUGUAACUUGGUCUUUGAACUUUUCAACACAGACACUUGGUUUCCUUAACUUUAUUAUAUACCGCAAUAUCUGACCAAAAAAAUGUAACUUUUCUUGUGAAAUUACCACUUUAUCCAUUCCAUGUUUUGAUACACAUAAAGCAAGGUUAAAAAUCAUAUCAACACAGACUACCCGUAUAACUAUGCAUCUCCCAUUUCAAACCCUCCAAGAAUAGAUUUGAAAAAACAUAUUAACACAUCUUAUAGAAGAGCAAGGAUUGUCGAAAAACCUAGUAAGUCCAGCUUCCAAGGGCAUUUUCCAACAUUACAGACAGCAACAAAUUCUAACAAAUGAAAAUUAAGCACCUAGACCUUUGACUCUAUUGACUUGUUCAAGCUACAUACAUUACGGUAAGUAAUAUUUUGGAGUCAACAGAAGGCCAAAACAGCCUGUAAUGCUUUAUAAACAGAUAAUAGUUUGCACAACAUGUAUACUGCAAAUUGUCUCACAGCUAAAGAUGCAACCGGUAAAACACACAAUGCGGACACGAACCAAUAACGAAGAACAAACUACAUAAGUAAACUUAAAAACUAAAAGAUGCGAAAAUAUAUCAAAUUAUCAAUAUGAACGAUCCCUGGAGCAAUAAAGUAAUAUAAUCUCAACGAAGCAACACACCUUUCGAUGGAGGAGCCAUCUAAUUGCUCAGAAAAGCUUCAGUAAGUGAAUAAGCUGCAAAAUUAACAAAUUAAUGUCAGAGAAGUUGGAGAACUUAUUAGCUAUUCAAUGUACUGUAUAGCAUCUCACCAGAGCAUGAAGAAACUUGAUAUGAUUACAAUUUUUCAUAUACAAUGCGGCAAUGUGGCAAAAAUUGAUAUUCCAUUCACCACUCGAGACAUAAUGUCAACAAAUCAUGAGUAGAAGUAAAUAAGCUACCAAACUAUAAAGUGCAACAACUCUUACGUAAAAACUCGACUGCAUAACUAUUCUUCCAAUCCUAAUCACCUUUAAUUUUAUACCUAGAUAUUAAAUAACCUAUCUCCUCAAGGCAAUAAAAUUUUCCAAUUAUUAAAAGGGUGGUUUCAUGAACAAGAGGAAACGUAUAAAUGGCUUGUAAAAUGGCGCUGCAAAGCUUGGAGAACAUCUGAGGGAAGUUUUUUUUUUUUCAUGAACUAACGAUGAAUUAAACAACGACACAAAAUAACUUGUAAUGAUCCUAAAACCCCUUUUCGAUCUACUUUCCGUCAGAAUCUCACCGUUUUAGACUCUCUCCUACACUCAAAUCUCUAGCAACGUAACAAUGUCGAAUCAUUUCUCAAAACAAAGUAAAAUUACCAUACUCAAACUUUGAAUCCACGCUCAAAAUCCCAUCUUCAUACGAAAUUUUUUUUUUAAAAAAAAAAACAGAUUUUUGGCAUCAAAAUCACAUCGCUAUAAAAAAUAAUCAGCAUAUAAUAGCAAAGAACAAAACUUACAAAUCGAAGGUGGAACAGAAUCCAACAAAUCAGAUCCAAUUGAAGCAACGAGAGAUUUAUACUUAAAAAAAACAAAGAAUUUAAUCUAAGGUUUCGAGAGUAGUAAACGAGAAGCGAGAUAAGCUCACCUCGAAUCCUCUCUUCUAAACCCUAGCGCGCCGCGGCCAACACGAGCGAAGAAACCCUAGAAGGCGAGGGAAAUAAGCGCCGUGAUCAGAGGAUUAUAUAUAGUAUUCCUUGGAAUGAUCAGGACCGUCGAUUUUGUUUCAACGGGUAUUUCGAACGGUUCGAUUGUCAAAUAGAUUGGGCUUGUUGUUAUAGCUUAUUAUGGGCCUUACGACCUUGUUGGGUCGGGUCGGGCCCAUUAAAACCCGCUUAGGCUUAGGCUUAGAUAACACUAAAACCCAUAUUAAAAUUUAGGAACUUUUGCUUAUAUACCCUUCAUCCUAUUCAAAAAUUUCAAAUUUACCCCCUCAUUCUCAAAACAUCCUUCUAAAUUUCAAAUUACAUUACUAAACUCUAGUAAGAGUGAGAAAUAUAUUUUUGCAAAUCAAUUUAGAGCAUUUUGGUCCACAAAUAAAUAUAUUAGAUAUUUUUUAAGUUUAUUAGAUAUUAUCCAUAAAAUUUAAAAAUUGGAGGCUCUCGGCCACUUCAUGUUAUUAAUUUUUAGUAUAUUUAUUUAAACAUUGUUAAAUUUAGAUCGAGUCUUUAUAUUUAUUUUUUAAUGCAUUCUUUAUUUGAGAGUGAAAUUUUGGUAAGAAAAUAUCAAGCAAAACUUCAAAUUGCCCCUCUGUGAUUUAGCUCAUUUUUACUUUGCUAUUAUGUGGUUCAAUACUUGUGCUUUUCCCUUUUCUGGUUUAGCGUGUUUUUAUUUUACCGCCCAAUGAAUUUCUAAAAAAACUUUAUUUUGUCAUCUUAUUUGACAUAUAAUUUUUUAGUGAAUUAAAAAUUAAACCAAAGGAGAGCAAAAUAUAAAAUUUUGAGCUACCCAGGGACCCAAAAAAAAUAUAGAGAAAUGCUAAGUCUACAACCUUUUGGGGUUGUAAUCUUUACAAUCCCCAAUCUUAUGGCCAAAAGAGUUUACCAAACUUUUUUAAUUUUUAGUCAAAAAAAAAAAAAAAAAUUGAAAGUUCUAAUAACUAGGCCCUUAGAUGGGCCGAGUUCGAAGAUUACAAAAAGGUGCACCCAUCGUACUUAGGAACUCAGUCAAAGAGCUCACAGACUUCGACCUGACUCAACUCACCUGGAUAUUAGGUAUAUUAUUGGGUCUCCUGCUGUUAGAUUUAUUAUAAAUCGUAGUUCGACUCAAUUUACUCGGCUUAAUCCAACUCAACUUAUUAGUUCCAUCAGUCAAUUGGUACGGGACAGAAAGUUCCACCAAUUUUAGCGAAUAAUAAACAACCAACAAAAUAUAUAUAGAUAAUUUAUUUGAAGUAUAACCUAUUAGACUCUGACUAUCCACUCAUCAAGGAUUCGAUGGUUGGUACUUGAAAUCCUAAGUUCGAAACUUAAUUGUUUUACAUUUUUAUAUUAGUUUAUUUAUAAAAAAAUGAACUACAUGAGUAUAAAAUAAUGAGUCUAAAUUUUGUACUAAAGAACAAUUAUGUUUAUAUACAUUUCUACCUAAAAUUUACUAGUUGAUUAUUUAAACAAGUCCUAGAUAUUUGAACUAUUCUAUUGCCAAAAAUUUGAAUUUGAACAACUCCUUUGUGCCCUACAUAUAUAAAAAAAAAAUCUAUUAAAUAUCAAUAAAUUAUGUUUACUAUGCCCUUUUGCAGUUGGAAAUGUUGCAGUUUUUUUUCUCUUGCGGCUUAACUCAUUUUUACUUUGUCAUCUGUGGUUUUUUAGUAAUAUUUAACUAUUCUGUGAUUUAGCGUAUUUUUCACUUUGUCGCUUCGUGAUUUUCUAAAAAAUUUUCACUUUGUCAUUCUAUUUUGGCAUAAAUUUUUUUGAUAAAAUAAAAAUUAAACCACAUACCACGUUUUGAACUCCGGAAUAACAAAGUAAAAAAAUGCGCUGUACCACGAGAGGUCAAUUUGAAAUUCACCCUAAAUUAUGUUAUGAUAAAACGUUUUUAUUAUCCGUAAAUCAGGGAUUAUUUGAAUUAGUUAAUCCACAAAAAAAAUCUGAAAGCGAUAUGGAUAUGAUUGCCAGCAAAUUUAGCAAUACUACAAGCAAACACUUUCUUUCCCCUAAAAAAAAGAAAAAAAAAAAAGAAAGAAAAAAGAGAGUUGGUAAAAGAACAAUUAAACCAUGGUGGGGUUCAAUCUUAAAUUAGAAAUCAAAUAUAAUACGUCUAGUUCGAGCAUUAAUUAAUUAGAAAAAUAGAAGCAAUAAUGUCGCAAAAACCAGCUAAAAAACAGUGAUUGAAAGGUAUAACAAAUAAAUGCUUGUUAUCGAUAAUUAUAUAUAUGUAUGUUGCGUAUCCAAGUGUACAUGUUCUUCGCAUGCAAACAUUUCAAAUGUGAUAAAAAUUCUUAAUUAUAGAGCACAUUUUGAUGUCAUGUUGCAGUAUAUAUUGAUAUACUUUUGUUGUUCUAUAUAUAUAUAUAUAUAUAUAUAUAUUAAAAAAAAACAUUGUUUAUAUUUUAUAAAUAAAUAUUCAGAUGAUUUUUUCGAUUCUCUGAAUUAAUUUGCUAAAUUACUGUUGUAAUAUUGGAAUUCACCAAAUAUAUAUAUUUUGUUAUACAAUUACUUUACUAUAAAAUUACAUGAUAUAUAUUAAAAAACAAGCUCUUAGAGAAAAUAUCAAUUUCUUUUAAAGAUUAAGUAGUAGAACUAUAUAUGGUCUUAACGAAUCCUUGAAAAAUAUAUAUAUAUAUAUUUAUGAAAAAUAUUUCUUUUUACAGUUUUCGUUUAUUGAAUUAACAAAAUGAAAAACUAAAAAAAAAAAACUAUUUUUUUCAUAAAAUCUUAUCGAGGAAAACUACUUUUUUUACUAACCAAAUAAAUGAAAAAUGAUUUUCUAGUCAGAAAAUUAUUUUCUAACAUAUUUUUCGCGAAGCCAAAUGCCUCAGUAAUUUUCUUACAAAUAAGCAUUACUAAUUAACACAAUAGUAGUUAAUUUUGGGAUUUUGAGUAACUUAUGCUAUAAUUAAUGGUUAGUUCAACAACACCUCAUCGUUUCUAUUUGUUCAUGUUAAAAUACAGAAAACUUCGAUAUAAGCAUCUAUUUUUUUUAUUUUUUUGUUUGACUUUUCAAUAUUUAUAUUUUACUUUCUCAAAAUUUUAAAUUGAUGCAUUUAGCCUCCUUUAUUAGGUUUCUGUCACUAUUACUCUCAUUUAUUAUAAUUUAUACUAAAAAUAUUCUUAAAACUGAGUAAAAUAUAUUAAAACAUUUUUUAUAGGCGAGCACGGAUAAUUUAGCCAUUUGGCUCCUUUCAUUAACACCAUAACUUUCUGAAAAUAUUUUUAAAAUUCUAACAGAGUAAAAUAUAAAUUUUUAAAAAUGAGAGGAAAAAAAAGAAAAAAAAGUGAAUAUUUACUGAAUGAUUUUCUAUAUUUUAUCUUUUUUUUUUUUUUUUUUGGGUCCUUAAUUUCAAACCCUACUCCGACAAUGGUCUUAUCCUUUAUUGCUAUGCUUACUUGGAUCCAAAUAAUAAGAAACAAUAAUUGGUAGCGUACACCACUACUUCAAGAAAAAAAAAAAAAAGAAAAAAAGAAAAAAAAAUGAUUGAAGAGCAUUAAAGGCAUUGUUAGCUUACAAUUAUUGUUAACUCUUUCCAUAUAUGCAUUGCGUAAUAUUUGGAUAUAUAUUUAAAUAUGCAAUGAUUAUGGAUGUACAAAAAACGAAAAAAAAAAAAAGCAUUUAUGCACAAACAUUCGAUCCUGUAUUAAAAUCCAAAAUAAAUGUUAUAAGUUAUUUUUGCAGUACAUAAUAUGUUUAAUUAAUUUGAUUCUUUUUGUUACGUUGAUAUUAAGGGAUUGAUCACGCAUGUUUCUAUCUAAUCGUCCAUUAAUUAUAUAGAAAAUAUUUUAAUUAACUCUUUAUUUUGAUUGAUUUUAAACAACAAAACAACGUAGAUUAAUAAAAUUAAGAAACCUCGAGAUAUUUUUGUUUCGUACAAACAAGGUAUUACUUUAAUAUAUGGGCAUAGUUUGAUCUUAGGAUCUAUUUUCUCUUGCCUCUAAUUUUAUUUUUAGCUUAAAACGUAUGAAAUUGUUGUUAUUUUAAAUUGAGCAAUUAAUUCUGUGCAAAUUUAGACUCUGAUAUUUUUUUUGAUAGAUUCAAGUUAUAAGAGAAAUUAAAUUAAAAAGGUUUAAAGAUGCGAAAUAAUUAUUGUUCCUUAAAUACUUAAGCCAGCAAAAAAUAUAUAAUGCUUUUGUGAAAUAUAUUAUGCAAAGUGUAUAAUGAAAGUAAAAUUGUGUUUGUUUGUCAAAAUCUAAAAGGUAUAAUUGAGCAAUUGAGCUAGAAACUUAAACAAGCAUAGCGAAUUCGAUAUCGAGUGACGUCGCUCGAUCUGUUUAUAGUUACUAUCUAAUGAUUAUUUUUAAUAGAAUUGUUAGCUUCUAAAAUUAUAGUUUUGUCGACAAUACAAUAGUAUAGAAAUUAACGAGAAAAUGAUAGUUCAGUAAUAUUCUUUUAAAAAAAUAUAUAGUAUAAAAUAGCAACCAAAAGUAUAUCUAAAAGAUAUAAUAUAUAGAGAAUGAUUAAAAAGAUUAAUUCAAUAAUACUUUUUGAAGGAAAAAAAAGAGGGUACAAAAGUAGGAUAUAUAUAGUGCACGCAUUUGGGUGUAAUUAAUUAAGCCAAAUGAAAAAAAAAAAAGGUGUGGUGGACAGCUGACGUGGUACACCUGGUGCACGUAAUUUUCCGAUAUUGGCCCUCUCCUCAAACCCCUCCGAAGCUUUUGUCCUCAUGCGUGACCAAGUGGUGGUGCAAGCAACCGCGCUUCCCCCUCAAAGCGGUUUCACUGCUUUUUCUCCACAUCACACACCUCCACAUAAAGUAUGUGAGGGUGACUCAUCCCUCUCUCUCUCUCUCUCUCUCUCUCUCUCUCUCUCUCUCUCUCUACAUCUCUCUACAUCUCUCUCUCUACACGCAUAGAGAUAGAGAGAGAGAGGGAGAUAGGGAGAGAGAGAGAGAGAGAGAGAGAAGAGUCCAAAACUUAACAGAAGAAAAGCUCACAACAGAAGCAAUAUAGCUAGCUAGAUAGAGAGGCUUCUUUUAACAUUGCAAAGAAAACACCGACCGUCCCUAGAGUAAGUGGCAAAGUGCUUGAUGGUUGGUACUCGAGAUUCAAAUUUGAAUCCUAGUUGUUGAUUCACAUUUCUAGCUAAGUUUAUUAUUAAAUGAAAUAAACGAAGCGGCCGGGUAGCGUGCUACCUAUCUCUCAAAAAAAAAAAAAAAACAUUGCAAAGAAAACAAAUUCAAGCACCCAUAAUAGAUAAAUAUUAGAGUCAGACUACUGUAUUAUUAAUAGUACAAAGUUAUGGUGUUAAUUACUAAUAAUUUUUCGACCUUUGGAUGAAAGGAUGUACAGUUAGAAUAAUAUAGUCUUCGGUGGAAAACCAUGCAGCACCAAACACUUGGUGCUUUUGAUAGCAUACCGCUGGCCGGACUUUGAAGUCGGUCACCAUUAUAGAACUACUUUAAUCCCAGCACGCUUAAUUCUCUUAAUUUUUUUGAUCUAACCGUCAUCCAAAUGCUAUAGUCGGAUUAAAAGGUUUAAGUCAUAUUAUACCUUGUGUAUAGAAUUAUUCUUGGAUUUCAUAGUUUACAUACUAUCAUAUAUAACAAAAGGUCUUAAAUUUAAAUCCGGGCCCCAAUUAAGUCUCAUUGUUUCGCGUAAUCUUCUUUCCAUCCUGAGCCACUUAUUAAAAGUUUCGAAUCCAAAUGUGAACUAAGUUAUCUAUCUUCGAAUUAAUAACAUGAUAUUAGAUGAAUCAAAAUUCUUUUUUCUUUUUUUUUUCUUUGGGGGGUUGCACUUCUACCAUGCUUUCUGUUACUCUAUCACCUUUGCGCAAAUCAUUGCAGAACGUCAUAUUGCUUUAAUCUCUCUCUCUCUCUCUCUCUCUCUCUCUUCACGAGUAUAUAUAUACCCACACACAUCCUCUCCUCUCCUGCAUAUAUAUAUAUAUAUAUAUGUAUAUCCUUUCUGGGUUCCAUUAUUAAUAUUUAUAUAUAUCUCUCUCUCUCUCUACACACACACACACAUAUAUAUAUAUAUAUAUACAUACUAUUUACGUAUACAUUAUAUAUACAUAUAUGAGCAUGAGCAUGGGGGGAGGAUCAGGUGGUGGUGGUGAUCAUGAUCACAUUGAUCAUGAUGAUGGUAGCCGCGGCGGCGAUCGCAGUCCGACGGUGGCGAUGGUGGCGGUGCAGGUGGGGUUCGCGGGGCUGAACGUGGUGUCGAAACUCGCCAUGGACUCCGGCAUGAGCCCCUACGUCCUCAUCGCCUACCGCAACCUCGUCGCCACCCUCUUCCUCGCCCCCCUCGCCUUCUUCCUCGAGAGGUAUACAUACAUGCACACAUUAUUUUAAGAUGAUUUUCUAUGCUCUUCGUGAAGUUAAUAGUGCCGCAUGAAUCUUAAGGUGAUUUUAUGAUUAAAAAUUCACAAGCAUAUUGAGCUUCUGUGCUUACAUAUGUAAUGUGUAUACAUAGAUACUCACCCCCUCCACCUACUACACUCAUCUUCCUCUUUCUCUCUUUUUUUCUUUUUUUUUUUUUUAAUGUUUGAGUACCUGUACUAAUGCAAUGUUGCAAAUCGGUCCUUGUACUUUUUUACUUGAACAUUCUUUGAGUUCUUAGUAUUUCACAUGCAUGCAUGUGCAUGCACAUAAAAAUUUCGAUAAAAAUGAUCAUUUAGAUAAAUAUAUAUAUAUAUAUAUAUAUAUAUAUAUAUAUUCUGUGGUCGAAGAUGAAACAUUUUAUCUAAUGUAUAGAAACCAAAUUAAUAUACCAUAAUGAUACAGGGGCUACUGAAAAAUGUUAUCUAUAAUUUUUUCCUUUAUUAAAAUGUGGGUAAAAACAAACAAAACUUAUUUGAAUUAUGAAUUAUUUCGAGUCGACUAUCGAAUCUCUCAAAAAUUUUAUUUAACUACCUAACAUUUUAACUCGUUUGAUUUGAGUCAGUUGACGAUACUUCGACCUCAAACUUUAAGCUAAUUGUGUAUUUUAAUAAAUUUAUAAUUACGAGAUUUGAAUGAAAUAUAUUAAUUAAAUACGUAAAGAUAAACAACGCUUUCAAGUUUCAAAGUCAAAGUAUCGUUGACUAACUCAAAUAAAACAAAUUAGAAAGCUGGAUAGUAAAAUUAAAAUAUUUUAAUAUUGAAUAGUCAACUAAAAAUAAUUCACAGUUUAUAUAAGUUUGGUACAUUUUUUACUCUAAAAUGCAUAAUUAUCAUUAACUAGAAAAUGGAGGGUGGUAACCGGAUCCAUUGAUUAAUGUAGGUUUAGUUUGAUAUUGAGAUCUAUCUGAUGCUAUUAGAUAAAAUAAAGUUGGGAUAAAAAUAUAUAGAGAUAUGUUUCUGCGUUUUCCGGUAGGACCGCAGAAAAUAAAUCGUAACCGACUUAUCGCGAUAUGUAGAACGCAAUACUACGUACAAAAAUAAAUAUGAUGUUUUUUCAUUGUAUUUUUUCACUGCUCUUAACACAAGCCCUAGACUCUGCUGGUGGCAAAACUUCUAUACUGCUAAUUAACUGCUUAUUAAAUGAAAGAUUAAAUACCAAUUGCUAAGCUCUUCUUUAGUUGGAUUAAUGUGCAUGGGUUGGAGCUCAACUUUAAUGCAGCAUGAUGCCACGCGUCCCUUUUGUGGUGCCAGGUGGCAAUUAGUAGCUACUAAUUAAGAUUUGAAAUUUGAUUCAAAAAUCACUAAUUUGUUUAAGGAAAAAGGUAUCUGAAGUUUGAAUAUUUUGUAAACAAAACUCCGAAUUUUUAAUUUUAAUAAUUAUACUUUCUAAAUUUAUCAAAUAGUUUAAUAAAAUUUUCUUUUCAAUUAAAAUUAUUUAAUUAUGUAGCAGCAGCCAAACUCUCUUGUGUUACAUAAUCUAUAAAGUGUAAUAACAAAAAAAUAAUAAUAAUAAAAUUUGAAGAUGGAUUCACUCUAUUCCACUACAACAGAAUUAGGUUAUAGGGAUACAUGUUUGGAACACUUUUGUAUAAGUGUCCCAUUUAUGCUAAAACUUUUAAAAAAAUCUACUAAUGCCUAACUAUAAAGCCCAAUCCAACUAAAAAUAAAAAGUUACUCCUUCAACACACUUUCACUGAGCCCAUUCGGCCUGAUUACAAACAGAAAAGAAAAAGAAAAAGAAAAAUCGAUUACCAUCUCUUUUUCUCCCCUCACUCAAUCCACUGAAAUUCUAGACGAAGAGCCCUUCCCUCUCGUUCUCCUCCGCCACUGCAGCAAACGAGGUAGUGUUCCGGCGGUUGCUAAAUGUUUAAAUAAGUGUUGGUAAUUUAGCAGCACUUUUUUUAGGUUAUGGCGACACUCUUUAACUGUUACUAUAUACCUAGCGAUCCCACAUAUAGCAACACUUUUUAAAAGUGUCAGUAAUUUAGCCAGCAGUACUUUUUUUGACUUAUACCGACAUUUAAAAGUGUCGCUAUAGACCGUUUUUGUUGUAGUGUUCUUAAAUGCUAAUGUUUAUAUCAUAACUAGAAGUGAAUUUUUUUUUUUUUUUUUGUGUUUUGAAUUUACACAAAAUCAUGCGAAAGAUAUGCGAGUAAAACAGGUGUUUAAUUAUUAACUUUGUUCGAGCAAAUCGGUGUCUAUUAAACUAUUUAAUAAAAUUUUGCAAAAUUAAGCUCAGAGAUUUAUUUGCAAAAGAGCUAAAAUUCAGGAGAUCUUUAUACAUUUUAUGGUCGAUUAAAUAGUCUGAUUUAUCCUUUUUUUUCUUUUUUUUCUUUUUUUUUGGUCUUUCUCAUGCAGGAAAACUAGAAUGGAGCUCACAGGCAAAGUCCUAUUCCAAAUUUUCCUAUGCUCAAUUUUUGGGUGAGUAUAAAUUAAUUUCCAUAAUAGGGAAUAAUAAGUGUUAUAAUUAAUCUAUGAAAAAAAAUAUUGUAAUAUGAACCAUAUUGAAAUUAAAAUAGUUCAAUCCUGGUUUAUUCGGUUUGAACACAAAAUCUAUUAAAACUAGUUAUAUAAAUCUAAGUAUAACAUGUCAGAUAUAAGCUAUGUAUCACGGACACUUUUAUUAGCCAAGGGUGUUUGUGUUCAUAUCGAAAACAUGUCUUAUGUAGACGCUCAUUGGGCCUGUGUUUAAUACUCAUACAUAGCUCAAACAAUUAAAAGAAAGAUAUACAUAUUUUUAUUUUACUUUUUUUUUUUAUGCAUUAUAAAUGUAAAAUGAUAAAUAUUUUAAUUUUUGGCUGAAUGCAUAUAAUUUUUUUGACAAUAUAAAUAAAUUAUAUAUAGUGUAGAAUUUUUUUCUUAAAAUAUAUAAAUUAUCAAUAAAAAUUUUACUAACUUUCAUCCGUAAUAGAAAUAUAAUAAUAUUUUAUCAAAAUUAAUAUUUUAUAUAUAAUAAAUAUAUAUUAUCAUAUUAAUAAUAUUAUAUUUUAUUAGUGGUGUCCGUAUCAUAUCCGUGUCCUAAUUUUUUGAAGGCUGCCGAGUCGUGUUGUGUCCCGUAUCCUGUGUAAGUGUUCGUGAUGCCUAAAAUAUAAGUAAAAUUAAUCUUAUUUUUUAAACUUUUUGAUCUAAUGGUAAUAUUUAUUAAGCAUUUUUUAACAUGCAUAAAUUUAUUGGAAAUUUGGUUAAUUUAUUUUUAUUCCAAAAUUCACACAAUUACUGAAAACAAAGAAAAAAAAAUGGUCGUAAGUGACGAAGUUGAUUUAGUGCAUAUUUUUUUUUUGGUGAAUUAAUAAAAUAAUCAGAUAUAUUUAUUUAUGUAUUUAUACGCGUAGGGCUACGAUGAACCAGAUACUGUAUUUUGAGGGGCUCAAGUAUUCCACACCGACAAUAGCGUGUGCCCUCGGUAACACGCUACCCGCCAUCACCUUCAUCAUGGCCGUUCCUUUCAGGUAUAAAUAAUUCGAUAAUAUUUUUAUUUCAAUUCUCAAUUUAGAAUAAAAAUUAGGGUUAAUUUCAUAUGUCUAUAAAAAUAUAGUGAAUGAUAAAUAUAUUUCUAUAAAAUUCAAUUUUUAUAUGUUAUUCCUAAAAAUACCAUGAUGUUUUCAAAUAUAUCCGUACUCAGUAUCUGUUAGAAAAAUUUAGUUAACCAUAGGUUAAAUAUUUAAUCUUGAUUAGUUUUUGAUAUUUUUAUUCCUCUUAUAUUAUAUUGUUAUGAUUUUUAGAGCGACAUAUUUGUGAUGGCAAAAUUGAAAAUAUAAAUAGUUUUCUAACAGUAACAAAUUAGAGAGAUAUAUUUGAAAAUAUUAGAACUUUGACAAAGACAAUAUAUAAAAAUUAAAUUUUUUAGGAAUAUAUUUGUUAUUUACUAUAUUUAUAGGAACCUGUAUAAAAUUAAUCCUAAAAAUUAUCACUUAUAUUUGAUUUGGCAUGCAUGUUAAAAAUCUAAUAGUUAAAAAUAAAUAAAAAAUGCUAUUUUUAUACUAUCAAUAAUAGAAUUCCAACUACAUUCUUAUAAUUACUUCUUUAUUAACAUAAAUACUUAUUAUACUUUUAUUUUUUAAAAAAAUUGAACUGUAAUAUUAGUGCUGAGGUUAUAACAUGUUGGCAUGAUACAGAACAGAGGUUAUAACGUACCGAUAUGAUACAAAAUCGAAAUACGAAAUCUGUGUCGAUGGGUGUUUAAAUACUUUAGUUAUAUAUUUUUUAAUUUUAUUUUUAAGAGGGAGAGAGAUGGGGACAUAAAAAGUGCAUGUUAUACUCACGAGAAAAUGCACCGAGCUUUGGCACACAUGAUGGACAUGGCACCUCUCUCUCUCUCUCUCUCUCUCUCACACAACCGCGUCUUAGUUUAGAGACACGACGGAGUGACACGUGGAAGCUUCUCCACCGCAAACGUGUGGAGGAAAAAGUCAACUCAUUAGGAGAAAUUCCUUGGUGUAACAGUAAAAAAAGAAAGAAAGAAGGAAAAAGACAAAAAAAGAAAAAUAUAUAGCAGUCACAGGAGAAAUAUGGCCUGUGUAAUUAAUCAUAUAUUUAGCUUUUAAAAUUUGGGAAUAAUUACCUAUAUAUCCUUCAAAUUUUAAAAAAAUCUCAUUUAUUUUUUUUUCAAUAUACUCCUUAUAUGUUCUUCCAUUAUAGCUACCAUCCGUUAAGUUAAUUUAGAUUAUAAACGGGAGUUAAGUAUUUAGUAGGGUUAAAAAAAAUUAAACUAUCUCUUUUGUCCUUAACUUAAGGACAAAUAAGAAAUAUUUGUGCUGAUAGAAGAGUACAUUUGAAUAUAACAAAAAUCAAAAUACUCUUUGUACGACUAACUUAAGGACAAAUAAGAAAAGUCGGUGAUGAUUUGAAAGGAUAAAAUAAUAAUUUUAUAUAAAUAAUAGCUAUUGCUAAUCGUUCAUUAAUGAAAUUUAACUCUAGAGGUAUAUUUGAAAUAGUUAGAACGUAAGAAAGGUAUUUUUAAUAUUAGCUUUCUAAAUCAGAAAGUGAGAACUUUUCAGGGAUAUAUAAGUAAUUACUAUUAAAAUUUAUGUAUUUUAUCAUAAUUUUUGUUAAUUUUUUAAUAUUUUUUUUUAAAAAAAUAUAAUUGGCUGGAUAUAAAUAAUGUGACGUAGAUGUUAUACAUUAGACUUUUUGUGUUACCGUUGACUUCAAAUUAUCGUGAUGCUUUGCCCUGGUCCACCGAGUCAGCUGUGAACCGGGCACCAUGGCAUAGUUCUUUUUUAGAAUUCAAAAAAUAUUUUAUCACUACUUUUACUUAUUUAGAUUUUAAAUUAGUAAUUAAAAAAGGCUGGUGAUUUGAAACCCCACGCGCGCCUUUAAAAUCAGUGGUUCAGCCUCUCGUUUGUCGAAAAAAUAAAAAUUUCCAUCAUUAAAAGAAGUAAUAUGUGAGAAUCUUCUACGUAUCUUCAUUUUAGAGCUAAAUAAGAAGCUUUAAAUUAAAUUUUUACGAUUCAAAAUUCUAUUUUAGUUUUCCUUGCAUGCAUUUGAUCCCAAACGGAGCCUAAAUAUACUCAAUUGCUCAUUACAUUUCGUAUUUAGCUUUUGUGUUUUAACAAUCAAUUAGUACAUAUAUAUUACCGUUAGAUUUACUUCUCAGAUCCAUUUCAAUCAUNAUAUAUACCAAUCCACAAAAUCAUAACUAGAUAUCAUCCUUUGAUCAUGUUUGAACAAUUUAGGAUUAUUUAUUUAUAUUUAUAUUUUUCUAUAUUUGUAAAUAUAUUUUCCAUAACAAAAGAGCUCAAACUCAUUAGUAUUAAAAAAAAAUAUUAUUUCUAAAUGAAAUAAACAAAACGGGUAGUGUGACCUAUGUCCCAAAAAACAUAUAUAUAUGAAUUUUGUUUUUCAAAUUUUUGCUAUUGCAGGAUGGAGACAGUUGGCAUUAAAUCAUUGGCUGGGCAAGCGAAGGUUGCAGGUACAGUGCUGUGUGUUGGGGGGUCCAUGCUGAUGACAUUCUACAAAGGGAGCCUCAUCAAGCUGUGGCCCUCCCACAUUCACUGGAGAUACGCUGAAAACGCGACCGCCGGCGGCGGCGGCAGCGGGAACAUGGCCCUCGGUGCCGUGCUCGUCAUCGCCAGUUGCUUCGCCUGGUCCAUCUGGUUCAUCAUUCAGGUAGUCAUACGAAAUGGAAAAAAAAGUAUAAAACUUUUUAGCUAUCGAUCGUUUUAAUACAGUCUCAGAAUGGUUAUCCGAUCGCUAGUUAGUGGUUUAAUUCUUCAGAAUUGAUAUUCGUCUCAAAUAUCACAUCUUAUAUUUGAAUAAUCAGUUUUACGUGUGGUGAAACAAAUCGAGGAAACAUAUAUGAAGUUGUUUUGUUGUAUUUUAUUUUAUUUCUCUGAGGUUGACUUUGUCGAGUUUUUUUGCGAAUGCUUUUAAAGUGAUCGAUUUAUUCUGUUUGAAUAUAUUCUAUUAAAUGUGACAGACUAAGAUGAGCAAGAGCUUUGCCUCUCCUUACACGAGCACCGCGAUAAUGAGCUUGAUGGCCGGCCUGCAGUGCUCCGUCAUUGGCGUCGGCGUCGAGUGGCGUCUUUCUGCGUGGGCACUUGGUUGGGACAUCAGGCUCGCUGCCGUCCUCUACAUCGUAAGCAUCUUAGACCCUCCGUCCACAUUUGCUCUUUGCGGCUCGACCGUUUAGCCCCGAUCGACUUUACGAUGUGGCAUUCUACAAUUCUCAUACAGCUUCUCUCGAUAGCAGAGAAUAUAUAGGAGGCUCCGAAUAGGAGUCUCAAAUUUUGAGCUUUUCGCCAUUUUAGACAUGAAUUGCGAAGAUUCUUUACUUUUCUACUUGCCAAACAUUUUACAAGUAAUUGUCACCGUUGAGAUCAGAAACAAAAACUAGGCUAAACAUUUUCGAUUGUACACUCUCAAAUAUAUUCUCACCUUGAUCUUAUAUCAGGGGAUCAUUGGCUCCGGUCUCGCAUUCGCGCUCAUGUCUUGGUGCAUUCAAAAAAGAGGUCCCUUAUAUGUUUCGAUGUUCAGCCCUUUGCUACUCGUCAUAGUCGCAAUCCUCGGAUGGGCCAUCCUUGAUGAGAAGCUAUAUGUUGGGAGGUAUAUCUAAUUCCUAUAUGUAUAUAUUUUUCGUAACUUAUCAUAAGCCAACACUAGAACUUAUUCGGUCGGUCUAUUUUGACAUUCCGGCUUGGUCUUUGUACUUUCCACUCAAAUAAACACGUCAGUAUCGUUGCGAGUGUUCAAGUGUAAACAUUUAAGUACGAAGGUAUUUGAGUUGAAAAUACAGAGACCAAGUCGCAAUAUUGAGUUAAUACAGAACGACCCGAAGAAGAGAUUUUGAUAUUUCGCUUCUAAUUUGGUUCAUAUCUUUUCUCUUUUGGUAGCGCCGUGGGAUCGGCUCUUAUAGUUGGAGGACUCUACAUGGUACUCUGGGGGAAAGGGAGAGAGAUGAAGAAGAUGAUGAAUUUGGACGACAAAAUAGUUGAAGUAGUGCAACAAGAGAGAGGGGUAGUUGGCUCUCCUACCUUGCCUAUUUAUCUCAACAGCAGUAAUCAGGAGGAUCAGUGUGGCCAACCAUAGAAGGGGAUUUCCUUUUUCCUAUCUUCUGAAUCCUAGUUUGGGAUUGCAUUGUCUAGAAACAAAAGCAUUGCAUGUAUUCUGGGCUCUUAACUUGUGCAUGUACUAAAAUGUGAGAAUGACUGUGAACAACAAUUACAAAUAUCAUCAUCAUCAUCAUCAUGUCUUAUAAGACUCAUUAAAACAAAACUGGUGUGAAACAAAGUGCAAUAAAAAAGUUAAAACUUCAUGCUUGGCCCAAUGGGGGUAAGAAAGGGUGUUCCAGUAAGUCACAAGCCCAAGACUAAUUAGGGUUAGGAAUUAGGGGCCCUUUGGUUAGAUGUAAUGAAAAAUAUAGUAUAGUUAAAGAUGCGUAUAGCUGAAAAUACAACUAUUAUAAUUGCAUACAUCUUGUUCGGUUGAAUGCAAUAGAAAGUUGUAAAUAAUUUAUUUGGUUGCAUGUAGUUAGGAAGUCCAUUUUUACAAUUUAGCAUUUUAUAUAUGUGAGAGCGAGAUUACCUUUAAUUAAUUUAUGAUAAAAAAUAUUUUCUAGUUAACAACCGAUCAGACUUCAAUUUUAAUGGAGUUACAAAAGCAGCGCAGUUACAAUUAUAUACAACCAAACAACCCCAUAGUUGAGUUGGCGGAACAGGCAUUAUAAGAACAAACCAGCUAUGGAUUCAUCCAGAAUGCCAUAUAAUCUUAAGCCAAAUAUGCAGGUAAUUUUUUUGCUUCCUAGCCUAAAUCUUCUUCUUUUUUUUUGCAACUCUCUGCACAGCAAAUUCUCCAAACAUUUUAUUUCUAAUUUAAUGAAAAUAAUAAUAGAGUCGUUUAUGAUAUAUUUCUUUAAUUACUAAAUUUCAUUAAUAAGGAAAACUACAAUUUCGCCUAAACUCUUAAUUUGAAAAAAUAAAAAUAAAAAUUAAAGAGAUGCGACCUACAAAAACCAAACUUAGGGAUACUAAUUAGAAUGGCCUUUGAGAAUCACCAAAUCAUUUAACAGGAUUUUCACUAGCAAGUGAUGGAGGAUCAAAUUGAAAGUUAAAUAAAACGUUCGAUCGUAAAUUGUAAACUCUCUAAAUAAAUAAGAUAAAUUAUUCGCCAAGCAAUAAACUGUAUAGAAAUAAUUGCCGCAAAAUUAAGUACCCAUAUUCUUAUAUUCGCAUAGUUUUGUGUUGAUGUGGAAAAUAUUGUAUGUUGCAACAUUGAUGGAACUUUUGUUUUUAGUUUUUUAUAACUUAGCUUGGACUUCUAUUGACUUUUUAGUACUCAUGAGAGAUGUAGCAGCAGAGAGAGAAGCACGAUGAAAGGUUUUAGAAUAAUCAGAAUAUACGCGCACAACUUUUCAACUAUGAAAAUUUAAAAUGAUAUUCUCUACUUUUUUUCUUAUUUUGAAUUAAAAUUUGAUUUUUUUAGAAUUAAUAUAAUUUUAGUCCAAAAUUUUAAAAAAAUUAUUAGAUUUAUGAUCAUUUUCUCAAAUUUUGAAUUUUCAUUUGGAUCUGCAUGUUCCAAACGUGGUCGGAUUCAGCCCACUAUCCAUUCUUGGCGAAUUCUUUAACUAACCCGUCGUCAAUAACCGCCAUACCAAAGAUCUAACAAUUAGUAAGAACCAGGUCCACCACGUCAUCAGUGUAUCUCAAACGAUCGACUCUCCACAUCAUCCUUCUUUAAAAUCACAACCGUCCAAUAAAUUUCUAUUUUUUGAAAAUUUAAAAUGGAGAUUUAAAUAAAAAUCGAGCGAACCGCUGAUAAUUUUGGUCCACAAUGAGUUGGUGCACCAGGUUCAGAAAUAUAAUUUGUAUGUUUCUUCUAGGCGUUUCCCUUCACCCCACUUUCCUUCCCGAAAUACCCCAGGCCAAAACUCUUCUCUCUCUUCUCUCUUUCUCUCUCUCUCUCUCUCUCUCCUCUUCCAUCCUCUCCAAUCCUCCGAACCCUCUCCUCGGACUCUUCUUCUCCCUCUCUCUCUCUCUCUCUCUCUCUCUCUCUCCUCCCAUCGCCAUGUCGCGUCUCCGCCCCUCCUCGCGCCGCCUCCUCUGGUGCGGCGGCGCUGCCGCCGCCGCCGGAAUCUUCCCAAAAUGCCCACACCACCACCACGUCCUCGGCCGCCGCCUACUCUCCUCCGCCGCCGCCGCCGCCGCCGCAGCCCGCCGCCUCCUCGACCCAGCCCCGCUCUCCCCCGAUCCCAUUCGUGUUCCACCACCUCGCCCCCUCGGGGGCGCUUUGGGGACCCUCCGCCGCCUCCACACGUUGCCGGAGCAGGUCUCCGGCGCCGGCCUCGGAGGCGGGGACAAGACCUUCGAGACUAUCUGCAUCCACGGGGUCGGCGCGAGGCCUCUCGUGGUGGAGAACGUGGCGGCGGCGUCCGGAGCCCUAGAGGACGACGAGGAGGAGGAGGCUAGGGUUAGGGUUAGAGAAUCCGAGGUGGGAGAAGAAGGUGCCGUAACCCUAACGGAAGAGGAAGCUAAAGUCAAAGAGGGUAGCGGCAGAGACGCGAUUUUGGACGGAUCGGAGGUCGAAUCGGAGGCGAGGAGGGAAAAAGAGGAGUCGGCGACGGAGAAGGAGGCGUGGUGGCUUCUGAAUAGGGCGGUGGUGAGCUACUGCGGGAGCCCGAUUGGGACCGUGGCGGCGAACGAUCCCGGAACGGUGAACCAGAUGCUCAAUUACGACCAGGUUUUUAUCAGGGAUUUCGUUCCCUCCGCCAUUGCUUUCCUCCUCAAGGGAGAGGGCGAGAUCGUUCGCAAUUUCCUACUCCACACCUUGCAGCUUCAGGUUAAAUAUCUUCUAUUUUUUCGAUCGAAUACCUUGUUAGGCUAUCAUAUUGGUACUAUUGUUGUUUAGUAACUUCUUUUUAGGGUUGGCAAUUUUGCUGAAUACUUGGACAUAAUGUGCUUAAUAUUUUCAUGAGAAUGUUUUUUAAGUUGUUUAAUUUUUGUUGGUAGGAUGUGAAGAAUUCUAGUAGUUGCUAAAUCUGGCAAAUUAAACUGAAGUGAAUUGUUAGCACCUACCAGAGAACUCAUUGGCGCCGCACUAAAUGAUUCCUAAUUGCAAUGAAAGGUAGCUAAAAGAAGUAAUCUUAAGAAAAGCUGUUUGUGAUGCACUAAUGGGCAGUAACCUAAUAAAGAUAUAUACUGAGAAUUACUUUAUUCAUGAAGGAGUUCCGUACUUUGUUAUUACAUAAGUUUUAGUAGUAGUUGAUGAGCCAGUUAGUUCAUUUUUCUUGUCGACACCAUUGAAUGAUCUUGGUAUGAGGAAAAACAAAAAAUAUUAUGCGUAAUUAAAGGUAUUGAACUAUGACAUCCUGUUACUCUCCGUAGACAGGACUGUCUAUAUGCUUUUAGAUCUCAACAAAUAUUGAAUUUCGAAUCUCUCAACAUAUGAAUUCCUUGUAAACUACAAUCCCUGCAAACCUGCUAAUUUCAAUUUUCUCACGUCUAAAUGGUUUCUAUGCUACUUGGUGAGCAGAGUUGGGAGAAAACUGUGGAUUGCUACAGUCCUGGCCAAGGGCUAAUGCCUGCUAGUUUUAAGGUUAGAACUGUGCCUUUGGAUGGAAGCAACGAAGCGUUUGAGGAGGUUUUGGACCCUGACUUCGGAGAAUCCGCUAUUGGGCGUGUAGCACCUGUUGAUUCUGGUGAGUAUAUGCUGUGUACUUUUAUAGCUUUAUGAGUGUUUCUUGUGUUUAUACCUCCGCAAAUAUGUAAAACUGCAUAAAACCCGUACAAAACCACGUACAUGAGCAUAUCUCUGAGAAACCUUAUGUAUUUCCAUUCAUGACCCUGCCGUGGUAUCUAAGCAAAAAACUUUUUAAGCAAAUAUACCCCUGAUAUGGCAUGGAUGCAAAUUUAGGUUGUUCUUAGGGGUACACACGCAAACACCAACUCUGUAUGGGUAGGUGUGCAAUUUUGCAUGUUUGUUGGAGGCCAUUCUGUAAUGGCAAAUGGAUCUGUUAUUACAUAGAAUCAAUGGAUAAUUAGAGGGAUCUAAUGGUUAUCACUAUUGUUGCUAGGACUUUGGUGGAUUAUUUUGCUGAGAGCUUAUGGGAGGAUUACUGGAGAUUAUGCGCUGCAAGAGAGGGUUGAUGUACAAACAGGCAUUAAAUUGAUUCUGAAUUUAUGUUUAUCAGAUGGAUUUGAUAUGUUUCCUUCUCUAUUAGUCACUGAUGGCUCUUGCAUGAUUGAUCGACGGAUGGGCAUUCAUGGGCACCCUCUUGAGAUCCAAGUAAGUUGAUAUAGUACAUUUUCACUUCAGUGUUCUGUACUGUCAUUUAUAUCAGUUAGGUGCCCUAAGCUUGCUAGUCUAGUUUCUUUGGGGACCUUUCUAUUAAUCCUAUUAGAAUUUGUGUUUGGAUGGUGCUUAGGCUAUAUAGUCCUCAACGGUGCUUAGGCUAUAUAGUCCUCAACGGUGCUUAGGCUAUCUUAUUGACAUGCGUUUUCCUUUUGUCCCAAGUUGGUCCAUUCAUAGUUUGUUUGAUUAGAAAAUGCAGAAAGAUAGCUGAGGUAGCUUUUUUUUUUUUUCAUUUAUUUUCUGUCUUUUUAAGUUCUUUCCAGUCAAAUUACAUGAUCUGCCAAAAAAAGUUUAUAAUCAUUUUUCACUUUCUUAACAAAAUUCAUUUUGCAGGCUUUGUAUUAUUCAGCUUUGCGGUGCUCCCGUGAAAUGAUAUCAAUCAAUGAUGGAUCUAAGAACCUCGUCCGCGCUAUUAAUAACAGACUCAGUGCUCUUUCCUUUCACAUCAGGGAGUACUAUUGGGUGGAUAUGAAAAAGAUCAAUGAGAUAUAUCGUUACAAAACUGAAGAGUAUUCGCAUGAUGCCAUUAAUAAAUUCAAUAUAUACCCAGAGCAGAUUCCUUCAUGGCUAGUUGAUUGGAUUCCUGAAAAAGGAGGAUACCUGAUCGGAAAUCUACAGCCGGCCCACAUGGAUUUUAGGUUCUUUUCACUUGGGAAUUUGUGGGCCAUAGUCUCUUCUCUAGCCACUGAAAGGCAAGCGAAGGGCAUUCUCAAUCUUAUUGAAGCCAAAUGGGAUGAUCUAGUAGCAAAUAUGCCUCUUAAAAUAUGUUACCCUGCUUUGGAGUACGAGGAAUGGCGUAUUAUUACUGGGAGUGAUCCGAAGAACACGUGAGUGUUUUAAUGGACUAUCGUCUUUUUAGUGCUUUCCGAACAGCCUCUUUUUUCCCAAAAAAAAAAAAAAUUACUUCAGGAGGUAUGGGAUGUUGUACACCUCUACGUAACCAAAUUAUCAAAAGUUCUCCACAAAAAAAAACAUUUGAUACAUUUAAGAUUAUUAAGAUUUUCGAACCUUUAGAAAUUGUGGGCAAUAAUCAUUUUUGUCUAACAAGAAGCAUUGCUUUAUGUGCAGCCCUUGGUCAUACCACAAUGGUGGAUCUUGGCCGACGUUACUAUGGCAGGUGGCUUUUCCAUCACUUUUGACUCAAUAUCUGCCUUUCCCAAUUAUAAUUCUGAAAUUCUGAAGUUUUCUUCUGCAUUACAUUUGUCAGCUCACACUUGCCUGCAUUAAGAUGGGCCGACACGACCUAGCUGAGCGGGCUGUCUCCUUGGCCGAGAAGAGGCUAUCGAAUGAUAAGUGGCCGGAAUACUACGACACCCGAUCAGGGAGAUUCAUCGGUAAGCAGUCGCGCUUAUACCAAACAUGGACGAUAGCCGGAUUCCUCACCUCCAAAAUGCUUCUAGAAAACCCGGAAAUGGCUUCGAUAUUAACAUGCGAUGAGGACCUCGAGCUUCUGGAAGGUUGUGCUUGUUGCCUCAGCAAAAGUGCUCGGAUCAAGUGCUCCCGCUUAGCUGCCCGAUCACAGGUCCUUGUUUAAAAGGUGGCCAAGUUUACCACCCCUACUUUUCUUUUUUCUUUUAAAGAAAUAAAUUACAGUGUACACGAGAGGAAAAAGAAAAAUAUAUUGAUAGAGGUGUUUGAUUACUUCGAAAACAACAAAGGGAUUCGUUUGUUCAGGUGAAAGUGGUUCACUUGCAUGUUAGUAUCUGUACAUUAAAUUUUCUUCUUGCCGGAUAUUUCUGUAAAUAUUGCCAACUUCUUACAUCACUAACUAUUGUACUGGACCAUAGUCGAUGCAACAGAUUUUGACAGAUCAGCAAAUUGGAUGAUUUUAGAGAUGUAAAGUUGUUUUAGUCAGCUAUAUAUAUAUAUAUAUAUAUAUGUAUAUGGAAUUAUGUUACUAUACUAUCGAUAGUACCAAAUGUUUGGUACUAUUAAGUUUUCGGCCGUUGGAUGAAAGGAUGUGCAAUUAGGAUAAUAGUGGUCUCCGGGUAGGAUGAUAGUGAUCUCCUGGUUGGAUGAUAAUGGUUCCCUAGGGUUGAGUGGAUGGUUGAUUGAAUAGUAUAAUCUAAUGGAUGGAAAUGAUCAAAAGGUAGAUCUAACGGUAGAAACCUCGAUAAUAUUAAGAGCUUGGUACUGUUGCUAGUAAAGUAGUUAGACUCAUAUAGAAUUGAGCUCGUACCAUUGAAUUAAAGAAUGUGCGGUUAGGCUGAAGUGGGACCCUUAGGGUUGAGUGAGUGGUUGGUUGAAUAAUAUGAUCUAAUGAGUGAAAAUGAUAAAAGGAAUAGAUCUAAUGGUAAUAAAUUUACAAAUACCAAGUGUUUGAUGUUUUUAUAAGUACCAUAGCCGGACUCUCUCUCUUUCUCUCUCUCUCUCUCUUUCUCUCUCUCUCUCUCUCUCUCUCUCUAUAUAUAUAUAUAUAUAUAUAUAUGAGUCUAUGGGGGAGUAAUUUGUUUUUUACAUGAACUUUUAAAAGUUUUGAUAUCACUUACCUUAAUCUUACAGAAGAAUUUCAUAUAUCAAACAUAUUUCUAGCCCUUCCUGAUCGAGUAUUUUGAGACCUUAUAGAAUAUUCUUCUAUCUGAUGAAUUGUUACAUAAUUUUGUUUGGCUGAAAAAUAUGUGUCGACUUCUGACAAACCUUGCCUGCAUACUCUGGAAUCAAAAGUUGCCAAAAUUUCCAAGUUCAGGUUUCCGUCGCAAGAUCCACUACAUUUCAUGUGAAAUCUAAAUGAUGGAUCUUAAAUGAUUCAUAGACUAUUCACCUAUAGUAAGAAGUUGUCAUGAAGACUCAAAAUGAGAGCACUAAGGCCACAGUAAACAAGUUAUCUGCAAUCUUUCCUCAGCUUGCUCACAGUAUUUGCUGUCGAAGCAGCGAACUUCCGUCCUCGGCUUUUGGGUGCUCCUGAUUUGCUGCUGCUUCGACUGCCGCUGAGCUGAAAAUCGAUUGAGCAGCCGCCGUUCCUCCGAAUUUGCGAAUUGCAAACAACUGCUUUCGUCGUCGAGAAGCGCUCUAAAGAGCAAGAGGAGAGAGGCCAUUUUCAUGCAAAGGUCCAUAUUUUCCUUUCACUGUGUUCGUAUGUUUUUAUAUCUGUCAAUCUCAAGUUAUUACUUGUACCUUAAUUUCUGGUAGAUCAUAUAAAACUGCUGUUGGGUCGCAUGUAAAGAUCGUGUGACCUGCUCGUUCAAAUAUUAAUUGCUCGGCUUCGUAACAAAAUAGAAACUAACCUCUUUUAAUCGGUCAAUGGUUGUUGAUCCACCUGUAUACUCGUCCGUUUAGGUGGAGUAUUAAAUUAAGUUAAUCUUAGUUAUGUUUGUGUAUUGUAAACUUUGGAAAGAAUAAGUACCUCAACUGUUCCUGGUACUCAAAAGUCUAAAAGACCGUUAUGCCCUUCUCUCAUCAUUCCUUUUCGCUUUUAUACCUGAAAUCCCAUUAUUAUCACGAAGAGAUGCUAAUCUUACAAUUAAGUCGUCCAGAUUUUUUCAAAUUUAAAUUCCCUUCCUCACCAGAUAAGCAAUUUUUUUUUAGAACAUGUUUAAACUAAAUUGCAAAAGAUCCAUACGUAUAUUUUAUAAGGCCCAUUAUGGAUCUGAAGCCCAGCCCAAUUCAAGGCCCAUUAGACCCCUCUCCCCCCGCGAGGCUACCACCAUCAUCAAGGCUCUAUGCGGACGCGGCGCCACCGCGCUCGCCCGCAAGGUGUUCGACGAAAUGCCCCACCGGGACGUGGUCGCCUGGACGGCCAUGAUCUCGGGCUACGCAUCCAACGGCCUGCACGACGAGGCGUGGGCGACGCUCCGCCGCAUGGCGGGCUCGGGCGCGGCGCCGAACGCGUUCACGCUCUCCGCACUGCUCGCGGCGUGCCGGGGCCCGGGGCGGCGCCGCGCCCGCGCUGCGGCGCACGCCUCCGCCGUGCGGCGCGGCCUCGGCGCCGCGCCGUACGUCGCCAACGCGCUCCUCGACGCGUACGCGUCCUGCGGCGACGGGGCCGUGGGCGACGCCCGGCGCUUGUUCGACGAAAUGGCCGAGAGAACGGCGGUGACGUGGACGGUUAUGAUUGCGGGGUAUGCCAGGUGGGGUAGGGCUGACGUGGCACUCGAGAUGUUCAGGAGAAUGGUCCUUGUGAGUAUAUUAUACGCGACAUGCAUUUACCAUACUAGAAAUAUGUUGGCCGGACCCGGUCUAUAGACCGGAAGAUAUGACUACGUUCUUCUUAGUGGGAGUGGCAAAUUGUGACCCGACCCGGUUCCCCAAUCAUGCCCGACUCGAAAAAUAUCCGGAUCUAGACCCGUAAUCCGCUUCGAAAAAUCAGGUGUUCUGAGUUCUAUAAUUCUUAUAGACUUAUAUAUAUACACCCCGAGUCGUUGAAUCCAACUCCUAAUAAUUGUUUAAAUAGACGUAUAUAUCUACGUUUGAAGCAAAUCUUACUACAAAUGUGUCAUCAAUUUUACAUUUUUAACAUGCAUAUGACAAUUCAAUCUUUUACAAAGCAGGACAGCGUCGAGCCGAGCCCGUUUGCUUAUUCCAUCGCAAUCAGCACGUGCGGCUCGAUCCGACACCCGACACUCGGUCGGCAGCUUCAUGCAGCCUCUGUUAAACAUGAUCUUAUUUCCAACACCCCCCUCUCCAACUCGUUGAUCGACAUGUACUGCAAAUGCACGAAAAUUCGCCAUGCAAAGUUGUUGUUCAACACCAUGCGUCGAAAAGACGUGAUCACUUGGAACACAAUGAUAGCCGGGCUCGACCGUCACUCUCCGCACGAAGCCCUUCAGCUGUUUCUCGAAAUGCGCGUGCAAAACAUGCGGCCGAAUUGCUUCACUUUCACUAGCGUCGCGUCUUCCUGCGCUAGUCUCGCAGUUUUACGAUGCGGGCGGCAAGUUCACUGCGCUGUGCUUCGGAGCGGGUUCGGAAAUAACCUGCAGGUAUGCAAUGCGCUUAUCGAUAUGUACGCCAAAUGUGGGAGCGUGGACGAGUCGAAAAAGGUGUUUGAUGAGAUGUCCCGUAGAGACCUACUAUCGUGGACAUCGAUGAUGAUCGGUUACGGGAACAACGGGUACGGCUACGAGGCAAUUCGACUGUUUGACGAGAUGGUAAAUGUGGGUAUCCAAUUGGACCAUGUUGUAUUUCUGGGUCUAAUCAGUGCUUGUAGCCAUUCUGGGUUAGUCGAAGAAGGAUGGGAGUACUUUAAUUUGAUGAAAACCGAGUAUCAUGUCGAGCCUAAUUUGGAGGUCUAUGGUUGUGCUGUAGAUCUGUUAGGACGUGCAGGGAGGAUCGAAGAAGCCUUUGAUUUAAUACAGAGAAUGCCGUUUGAACCCGGCGAAUCGAUUUGGGGGGCGCUUCUCGGAGCUUGUAAGAUGCAUAAGAAUGUAAUCUUGGGUAAAUUGGCGGCGAAAAAGAUAAUGGAGUUGAAGCCAAGAGGGGCGACGACUUAUGUUCUACUUUCGAAUAUUUAUGCUGCGGAGAGAGAAUGGGGUGAGUUUGCGAAGGCGCGGAAGGCGUUGAGAGGGACGAGUGAUAAAAAAGAGGCAGGGAUGAGUCGGAUUGAGGUUAGCGAUAAGUUGUGCAGCUUUGUAGCUGGUGAUAAUACUAGUUACUAUGUUGGUUUGUGCAGUGAUGUGUUGGAUAGUUUGGCUCGGCAUAUGGAUGAGAACUCGCAAUUGGAAUUUAUAAGCUGAUGGUGUUGCAUAGUGUUAAUUUAGAUAUAUAGCUCGGGAGCGCGGUGAAACUGUAUAUUGAUCUUAUUUUUCUGGACUUUGUAAAGGGCGACUUGCGUGAAUGCACAGUAUCAUCCAUCUUAGAUUGAUUUUGCGAAUAAAAUACGGGGUAGAGUUUAAGAAGAAGAUUCGGAAAUUGGUGUCUCAAGAAGAGGGUCUAUCAGUUUGCUCUUUGAGCUGGUACAUAGUGAAAAAGUUUUGGAACAACUCGGAGAAUAAGAAGUUCAACUAUCUGAUCCAAGUUGCUUUUAGCGAAAUCGCUCACCAGGUAUAGCUAAAUUAGUCAUUUUGCUUUUGCCAUUCUUUCCUUGCCGUUGAGACGUAACGUAACAAGGAUGUUUAUGGCUAUUAAUUUCAUGUUAAGAAUGUUAACUGGUUUUUUUUUUUUUUUUUUUCNUUUUUCGCCAUCUGGUAAUUUACGAAGAUAUACACUUAUCACAGAACAAAUACAUCAGCCUUGUUAUUGGCUUUACCACUUAGGAUGUACAUGCUAGAGAAGCAGACGAUGACGGCGCAAAUUGUCUUUUUACAAUUCAACUGUCCAACCUACACUUAUCUCAUGAGGAACAGAACUACAGAAGAGCCAAAAAGUCCAAGAUAUUUCUGAGGGGAGGGAAAACCACAGCCUCAGCUUUGUCUGAUGCCUUAUACUUGUGUUUGAUUCUUUCUCACUCCUCUCUAUCCUCUCCUUCUCAUUGAUUAAAACAAACAUGCUAAGCAAUUUAGCAUCGGCGUCUCCUCCCUCUCUCUUCUCAAAUUUCCUCCAUCGUCGGAAGCCCUGCUUUUCGCACUCUAAACCAUUGUGCAGCAGCCUCAGUAAGGAAAGAAGAAAAGGCACUAAAUUCAAAUGGCUCUCUAUCUCCUUUUCGCUUUUCGGGUCGGGGUUCUUCCUGGGCCCUCUUCUCGAUGGCCUGCAUUCGAGGGUCAAUCUCCAAGUGUACCGAAAUUGGGCCGUCGAUAUCGGCCCUCUUCGCACCAACAUCCUCGUACUGUUUCUUUCAAAUUUUCCCUCCAUAUAUAUUUUUUUCUUUAAUUGAAGUACAAUCUCUAUGGUUAUUAUUAGGUCCCUCUCCUCCUUGGGGCGUUUUACUGCACUAUCGGAUUGCUGCAGCUCUACUUGGAUGAAAAGGCCACUUCUAGUAAUGCAAAGCCUUCAGGGAGCUUGAACAAGGCGGCGAUAUCACUAAUGUGCGUAAUCUCAGUGGCACAAAAUCUUUCGGUAAAUACGUAUCGAGACGCCCUGAACUGUAGGCCAUUCUGAAAUAGACCGCUCAACUUUAUUUUCAAACAUUUGCUCGUUUCUGUUAAACGUAAUUGCGAUUCUGAUGAAUUGAAGAGCUUUACCGGCUUUAAAUCGAUCCAUUUUUCUCUCUAUUCUUUGCCGUCAGAGCCCUUGCAUUAUUCGUCGAACUGAGCGCUGAACUGUACAAAGCUGGAGUUCCGAGCAACGUUGAAGCCUACAUACUAUUUGCAGCAGCAGAAUUUUUGUGGCUAUUGCUGGAUGGAACAUGGCUAGGGUUUGCGCUCGCGUGCUUUGUCGGCAUUGCAUGCCCUAUUGCUGAGAUCCCAUUAAUGAAGUAAUUUGCCUAACAUUUUUUAAACUUCUGAUUAUUAGCUCAACAUUCUCUUUCAAAUCAUUUUUUGUUUUUCAGUUUUGGCCCACUUUUUUUCCUUUUCCAGUUAAACCUCUUAGGGGCAUUCCAUGCAAAGAUGUUUCAGCUAAAACCGAAAAAUGGCCGAAAAACGUGCCAACAUUUUUUUUAUUGAUUGCUGCUUCUGUAUCAUCAAAUAUUACAGGAUUUUUCACCUCUGGAAUUACCCAAAUGCUGAUAUCCAACUAUUUGGUGAGGUAAAACCCUCAUUUCUUUUCCCCCCCCUCAGUGGUUCUUCAAAUUGCUAAGCAAUGAGAAAUGUAUAAAUGGUAUUGUUUCCUCUUUUCGCAGGGGCUGAUCAGUUGGACAACUACCUGCUAUUUUGUUUACACUCCAUUUUUGAUCAAUUUGUCGCGUUGGCUCAAGUCGUCCUUCGCCGAUGAUAGCGAUCAAAUAGUUCAGUAGGCAUACAGCAGCAGCAGCAGCAGCAGCAGUUCCGAUGAAACAAUGGAUUUCUCAAAAAUGACGGUAUCGGAGAAGUGUCAUUUGAUUUUAUAUUAACACUCUCGUUCACGCCUUGGCUCAGAAUUUCUCAAUAAGCCCAAAUUGUUGACGUUGGGUCAAACUAGUUUUGGGUUUUCUUUUAACUACUAUUUAAACAACAGAACUGUUUACUGUUUGAUACAACAAACUCGAAACUUCUUGCUCUGAUCAUGUCUUGCGAAAGAUUUGAAUGUUCCAAUAACUUAAGCUAGCAGAGAAAGUAGUACCGUACCUGCUAUAGGACACGAAAGUGUACUCCGUAUUUAACUGAUGUACACGGAAACGAAUUAAAUACACAAUGUGAUCAGUUUAGCCUGAGGUGCUAGCUCAUUUAUGUGGCCAUAUAAGGUUACCUGUUUCAUUAUAGAAAUGAAGUAAUGCACAGCUCAAAGACAAUGAAUCUGGUUAUCAGCAAGAGUGACCAAAUAGAUACAUAUCUUCUUCAGUAGUAAUACUUUUUGGUACAAACUUACCGAAUUUAUUUGAACUAAGGACUAUUUUGAAUUGACUACUAAAUCUUUCAAACUUAGUUUUACUGUCUAAUUUUUUAAUUUAUUUGAUUUGAGUCGGCCAAUAAUAUUUUAAUUUUAAAAUCUGAAUGCGUUGUUUAUUUUUAUAGGUUUAGGUAGCAUACUUCAUGCAAUUGCUGCAAUUAUAGAUUAAUUAAGCUAAGUAGUAAUUAGCUUAUAUUUUGAAGUCAAAGUGUCGUUGGCCGGUUCAAAUCAAACAAAUUGAAAAAUUAGAUAAUAAAAUUAGAACUUUUAAAAAUUGGGCAGUCGAUUCAAAACGACCAUUAGUUCAUGUAAGCUAUGUACAUUUUUACAUAUUUUUUUUAGAGAGAAUGAUAGCAUGUUACUGCUUAGUUUAUUUUAAAAAAAAAUAAAUUUAACUAAAAAUAUAAAGUACGGGUACCAACCAACUAUAAAGUUUUUUAUCACUUGCGGUAGAGACGGUCGAUUUCUUUAGCCGUAACACUACUCUGGAUAAAUUACCACCCUAUGCAAUUUUCUCAGAAAUGGUAAAUGUACUAUAAUCCCUCUUGAGUUUAAAUUUGAAAUUUGUGAUAUAUAUAUAUAUAUAAAAACAAGAUGACAUAUUCUCUCACUUAAUGAAUGGCACAUCUUUUUGUCAGAUGGUAGUUGGCUCUUAUUUUAUUCUCUUGCACCAAAAAUGUAUACAAAACUCACCAAAUUCAAAAGCUUCAUUAAUAAGAACAUGCACUUCUCUUCCCUAACAUGGGAGCUACAGCACAAAAUAAAUGAUAGCAGUGCAGUAGCACAUUGUGAUUCUUCACCAUUUUGGGUAGCAAAAUUAUUAGUUACUAACCGACCGUCCCUGGCGUAAGCGACAAAGGACUUGGCAGUUGGUACUCGAGAUCCCAAGUUCGAAUUCUAAUUGAUUCACAUUUCCAGCUAAGUUUAUUUCUAAGUGAAAUAAACGAAACGGAUAACGUGCUAUCUAUUUUUUUUUUAAAAAAAUUUAUUAGUUACUAUUAUUGGCUAAAAAGCCCAAUAAUUGUUAAUCAGUAGUGUCACAUUAUUUCUUAGAGAUGAAUUAUUAGUUAUCUCGUGGCAGAAAAAUAAUAUGAUAAUUAAAAUAGCCACCACUUUACUAAUGUGUUUAAAAAAAUUACAUGGAGGUUAACAAAACAGUGAUUAAAAUAUAAAUCAAAGUUUAGUAUCUCAAUUAAAAUAAAUUAUAGUUUGAUGACCCAAAUUAAAGCCUAAAGGAGAGUUCUCUCCAAAAGUAAUAUGCCUCAUUUAAAAGAGUUCAAUUUGUUGCUCUUCUGAGGAUAUUAGCCACCUAAGAAAAGUGGGCUUUCUAUGUAUUUAGUAUGUUCAAAUUUUUUUUUUCACAAAUAACCUCAUAAAAUUUAUAAUUAUAAAAUUAGUCAUAUUCCUGCCACGUAAACGUCACGCGAGCAUGGCUGGAAGUCCAGAUUAAGUUGAACACGGUGAAUAAUUCACCGUGUUAGGACACAAAAUGAAUAAUUCACUAUGUUCAACUUAAACUUAUAUAACUUAAAUUUAUAUAUUGUAUAAGUUUAAGUUGAACACGGUAAACUAUUCAUGACGUCCAAACAACGGUGAAUGAGUGGUUCACAGUAUUCAACUUAUUCCAUACUCAUAUGACAUUUGCUUGGCGGAGAUAGGAUCAAUCUUGUAAAUAUAAAUUUUGUGAGGUUAUUUAUAUAAAUUUUUUUUUUUUAGUAGGCUAAAAUGCAGAAAAAAAAUCCCCCAAAAAAAAGUUCAUGGAAAUCAAGUUUUGUUCACUUGUGCAUCAAUCUUUGUUAGAAAGCAAAAAUGCAUCAAACUUUUCCAUCAUUCAAACUUAAUUACACCUUUGCACUCUAUCAAGUCCAUCGUAUCAAUUCCAUAGCUUUGUUAUUGUACUUUUAAGUUUUGGUAAAAAAGUAUAAAAUUUAUCCAAAUUAUAGUCCAUUUUUAUUUUAGUACUCAAAUCUUUCAAAAUUUGAUUUUAGAGGUUAGAAUUUUAAUUGGUUUGAUUUAAAUAAUUUGAAGAUUCUUCGGAUAUAAAAUUUAAGCUAAUUAAUUAUUUUAAUAAAUUUAUAGUUACACAGAUUGAAUAAAAUAUACUAAUUAAAUACGUAAAGAUACUAAAGCUUAAAUUAAAUAAACUAAAAGAUUAAAUAGUAAACUCAAAAUUUUUAAAAUUUAGACAGUUAAUUAAAUUUGAAUGAAUAAUAGUCAAGUUUUAUACAUUUUAUCCGAGACCGCACGCAUGCAUUUGAGUUCGUGCACCUAACUUAUGCCUCUCGGGUCCGACUAUUCAGAAUGCACUAACCAUAUGAGCACAUAUAUCGCGUCUAAAACCUGCUUCGUUCGGGUCCAGUUAUUUUGAGUGCACCAAAGAGUGUAGGAUCAUCAAAUCAUCAUCGGCUCUGAUAUCACUUGUUAGGAAGAUCUAAACCCAGGCCGAGCCCACGCGAGGCCGAGGGAGGAUGUGUUAUAUUUAAUAAAAAAAGUUUAAGCCUAUUAAUUAGGUCCGGACUGACUAGUCUAUAUAUAUCAACCAACUACUUUUUUAUGAAAUAGCUAAUAUGGUACAAUUCAUAUAUAAAUUCUUAACAGGAAAAACUGAACUACUAGCCAGCUACCACAUUAUAUGCACGCUCGUGCGCACGUGCACACACGCAUAUAUACAUAGAGAGAGAGAGUCUAACUAUACUGUUUUUAAAAACACCGAGCAUUUGGCGUUUAUAAGUUUUUUAUAGUUAGAUUUAUUACUUUGAUCAUUUUUAUCUGUUAGAUCAUAUUAUUCAACCAACCAUUCAUUCAAUUUUAUGGAGGCGCACAUCUCUUAAUAUAAGGUCUAAAAUAAUUUGUUUUUUUUUUUUUUUGAGAAAAAGAUAGCAAGCUACUUGCUUCAUUCAUUAAGUAAAAUGAACUGAGCGUACAUGAUGGAAGCAGCUAAGGCCUCUGAAGAAAGGCGAGGAAAGAGAUCGAAAAAGGUGCAAAAAGAUUACAAAAGCAAGAGUGGUGUCGGGAAGAUGGAAGUGUAAGUUGGAGAGCUAGCAAAUUGUUAUCGCAGCACGUUCCAGUCGCUCAUCAGAAGGUUGACCCGUUCAAGUGCCCGGCUGGCAUUGGCCGGUAUUGCCCGGAAUAUAGAGUUGUUUCUGUCCGUCCAAUAAUUUGGUAUUUUUAAAAGUAUAGAAAUCAAUUCUAUAUAUGUAUGUACACAGAGAGAGAGAGAGAGAGAGAGAGGGGCCAAAGUGGCCAAAGUGUAAUUAAUGUUAAUGAAUGACUACAGUACUAGCUCUCCAGCGCAAUUUAUUGAAGGGCUCCUUAAUAAAACCUCAUUGAGACAGUUUAUACGUAAAUCUUAUAAUUUGAAGGGCUCCUUAAUGAGAUCUCAUUAAGACAGUUUAUUCGUAAAUCAUAUAAUAAUUUACUCUGCGUCCAAAUCCUAAUAAGGUCUUAUUCCAAUUGAAAACCUAUUAGCUUUUUUUCCCCUCUUUUUUUUUCUUUUGUGUGUGUCCGGCGGGGGAUUGAGUUUUUUCUUUUUUUUUAGAAAAAGGUAACACACUAUCUGUUUUAUUCAUUGAAUUUAUGAAUUAGGCUAUAUGGAUGAGGCAACGGUAGUCUCGGGUGGGAGUGGAAAAAAAAAAAAAACACUCCCUACAUCAGAGCCUCCGAUUAGCCCGAAGUAAAAAUUCCUAAAGGUUCAGAAGUUACUUAAUCCUCCUAAAUACAAGAAGGGGAUCCGGUCGAGCCUUUCUAAAGAUCACGUCGUUUCUAGUCCCCCAAAUAAUUCACUAACAUUGCGACCAAUCCGGUUAACUUCGGGCUCGUCGCUUGCAGUCCGGUCCCAGCGGACCAAUAAUGGGUGUUAAUGGGGCGGAUCAGAUAAGCAGUGCCGUGGACCAGAAUCCGCUAAGCCCAUUAAAUCAACUUGGGAUUCUAAUUGUGCAUAUAUUAAUACAUAUAUAUCUGGGCCCAAUGCAGUACAAACUGGGUCGUGACUCGAAAUCAGAUUAGGUGGAAACAACAUUAAAUGCAUUGUCCCCCCUGAUAAUUAUGCCACGUCACUGUUAUGCCAUAAAUUCUAUUCUUUUACACCCUCCUCUUUGUGAAAAAUUCUAGAAUGCAACGGGUAUAUUAGUGACGUGGCGUAACAAAUCAAUCAAAUUAAUUUUUUUAAAAAUAUAUGUUCCAUCAUGAUUAUAAAAAAAUAUUUUUAUUGUACUUUUGUUUGAAAAGAAGGAAUGUGAUUGGCUUGUUAUUGAUGACGUGGUGGUGCAAGUGUGACAGUGUAGAAUUCCUCCCUCUUUGGCAACAGGCCAACAACUAACUUAAACAAAAGGACUUUUUCUUUUUUUCUUUUUUUCUUUUUUUUACAUUUAGCCCUUUAAUAUUUUUUUUUUUUACAAAUAAUCUUAAUAAAUUUAUAAUUGUAUAAAAAUAUAAAGUAUACUAACUAAAUCUUUAAUCAUAAAAAAUGACGCAUUCCAAGUUUCAAGUCAACAUGCCCUCAACGAACUCAAAUCAACAAACUGAAAAAUUAAAUAGUAAAAUCAAAUUUUUAAAAAAUGGAGUAGCUAAUUCAAAAAGAUUUGUGGCUCAGAUAGUUCCAAUACCUUCUUAUCUAACUUUCACCUGUUCUGAUAAUAUUUAAAACAAAUACAAAUCUCGUCUUAGGACCGUACCCGACUAAAAUAAACAUGAAUCCACUCUGAUGGGAUUUUUGUUCUAUUACGACUAGGCUAUCAUAUUGAUCUCUGAGUCUCAUUUCAUAACCAUGUCUCACUAGAAACAAGAAUUUUAAAUAACUUUAUACUAAUGACAAAUUUAAGAUUACAUGGGAAAGAAAAGCACAUUAGUUGCUCUGUGGAGGGAUCUGAAUUCCAGAAAGAAAUAUACAACUACGACGGCGCCGAGGUAGACCAUGUAGAGCCGGCCAAAUAUCCGAAUUGGAACUGCGGACGAGACCAGAAUUACCACUUCUUGAGUUCCAUACCUUCAGGUGGN